UCUCAAUUUUGAAAUAUACUUCAGCUAUCGUUGCGAAACGAUACUUACUCAUUUAUUUUUUAGAGUUAGAGAUUUUAUUUGAAUAUCUAAAAUUCGAAGAAAAAACUCGAUAAUAAAUGGUCGUAAACUUUCCAAAUUCUCCGCCCGAAGAGGAGCCAUGGAAACACAACAAGGAUGUCGUGGACUGUUAUAACGCAUACACGUGUCCUCAUUUGCUUUGUCUAUAACUCCAAAAUAUCUACCUAUCAACUUCAACCAAAGAUUUGUCUCCCAAAAUAAUCCAACCUGGCACGGCAGACGUGUAUCGAAACUUAGAGUCAGAUUCAUGAUUUAAAUUUUAUAAAUUUAAUUUUUAAAAUAUAAUAUUAUGUAAUUUGAAAAACCAUAAAUUUGAGCAUAUUAUUAUAAUUUAUUGUAAUUCUAGUUGGGUUUUAUAUAUAUAUAUAUAUAUAUAUAAAAAGAAUUGUUAUUAAUAUCACCUAUCGUAUGAUAUUUAAUUUUAAUUAUAUAAUAUUAAAUUAAUUUUUUAAAAAAAAUUAAUAAUAAAUCAUAUAAAUUGAAGACAGAGCCAGUAAUCUAAAAGAGUUGGAAUGCGUGCACUUGAUAAAAGGGUGUUCCUAAUCUAAAUUCAUUCCCUUUGACCCAUAAAAAUUAUAUCUAUAUUUCCUUGUUCUAAUUUUAAAAAAAUAAAUUUAGCUUUAAAUUUAAGUUUUAGUAUUAAUCAUAGUAUUUUUCUCUUAAAUUUAUUAUAUUCAGAAAAUGAUGAUGAAAUUCUCAUUUUAUUUAUUAUUUUGUCAAGUAUGUGCCAAUUUAAUAUUGUAUAUGGUAAGUAAUAAUAAGUGGAGGCGUAGAAAAUAAAAUAAUAUACUCGUGCAAAUUAUCUUUCGUGUCAUCCUGUGCAUUAUACAAGAGGUAAGAAGGGAAUUAAAAAUAAAUAUAUAUCGGACCUUUCUUACAAGUUACAACCAUUAGUAUAUUAUUUGUUCACAUUAUUAAAAUUUUAUAUGUUUAAAUUAUUCGUUAUUUUGAUUAAUUAAUUUUUUCUGGUCUCGUCUAAUUAUUUUUUUGGAAGUAUAAAUAUUGUAAUGUGUAGCAACACAUUUUCUAAGAAAUAUAUUCAUAUCAUACUUGAAACUCAACAAAGAUAACGAAAUAAAUAUUAAAAAUAUCUUAAAUUUGACAUAAAAUUAAUAAUUUUAGCUUUUAUUUACUGUCGGUCUUAAAAAUAUAUUUCUAUUUGAGUAGCUAAACUUAGAUAUGUACGCCUCUGAUGAGUCACCUGUCAAGGCAAGUGAUCUUAAAUUUUUAUAGGAGCAUGAUAUACUCUUAAUAGAAAAUCUAAAGAAGUGUUGAAAAUACUCUUAAGCUUGGCAAAAAUUAAAGAGUGCAUGUAAAUUAAGUUAAUUAUUGCAAUAUCAGAAGAAGUACCGAAAACACAUUUAAAUUUGUUAAAAUGGAACUAAUAAUUUAUAUCGAAUCUAUAAGUGAUUAACUGAUUUAAUUUUCACGUCCUACAUUUUUAUUGGGGCCUACUCUAAUAAAUAUACUUUUAUUUAGUUUUGAAAAUAAAAUAGAGAAUGGUUGUAUUUUGUAUUGCGGCGUACUUUUUGUGAGCCCAUAUGGUAUAUGGUCCCAAUUACUCCUAUAUAAAUAGCCUCCCAACUUCCUCCCACUUUCUCUAAACUACCAUCCAUUCAAUUCCCCAAAAUCCCUUAUUUUUCCAUCCAAAAACAACAUGAAGAAAUCACUUCUCUUAGCAGCCUCUGUUUCUGCUGCCGCCACCGCCACCGUCUCUUCUGUAUCCAAAGUUCGAAUUUCUCUUCACAAGGUAAACAUUCAAGUUUUUUUUAAUGGAUUUUGCUCUGUUUUCUCUGUUUUCAGUAGCUUUAAUGUCGUUUCUGUGUAGAGAGAGUUAUCUCUUCUUUUGUUUUUUUCGAAUGGAUUUUGCUCUGUCUCUAUGUAGUUUUAAUGUCGUUUGAGUGUAGAGUAAGUUAUCUCCUUUUGUUUUUUUAUUUGUUAAAAUCAAAUCUUAUUUUGUUAAGCAAUGAAUUUUAUGAAUCGGAAGUGAGAACUCAGUUAUCCGGUGCUGAGAGUUAGUAGAUCUCGCUGGAAUUAGCGUUGAGUUUCCUGCAGUUUGAAAUUUGAAUUUAUGACUUUUGACUUAAAAACACUUAAAAUAAGGCAAUCUUACUAUUAUUUUGAAUUCAGAUGUUGAAUUUCUUUCCUUUUGUUUCAGGACGAUAAUUUGAAGAAAACUGAUGAAGAUUGUUCAAAAUCGGUGAAAGCAUCAACAUCUACAGAUAAAUUUGCGCCCAGAUUUGAUGGAUUGAGGUUUAUAGAGACGUUGGUCACUGCUCACAGAUAAGUUUACAAAAGAGGCCCCCAAAAAAAAAAGUUUUGGAUGGAAAAUAUAUAAGUGAAAAAGGAGGAAUAUGAUAUUGUAAUUUAUACAUGAUUGUUUCAAGGAUAUAUCAAAUUUCAAAAAAAAUUGUUUCCCAAGAGUUUUUUUUUAAAAAAAAUCAGAUUUGUCUGAAGAACGUAUGAUGUCGCUGUUCAAAUUUGUUUAGAUUCUUGACAAUAUUUGUAUUUCCAAUAGGAGUUUUUAUGUUUGACAAAAACUACAGCUUAAAUUAUAUUUUAUGUUCUUUUUAAUUGGGGUUAAUGACAUGGAUUCACUAGAAAAAGUGUACGAUUCAGAUUUAGAAAGUUUACCAAGUCCGGAAUUGAGUACGAAGUUAAUGAGUCCAGUCAAACUUACACAACUUGGACAGCUAGAAUGAUCCAGUAGUUUCUGAAAAUCAAAAUUUUUUUAUCUGAUUCAUGAUUUUACAUUUAUAGAAAACUUUACAGAUUUGUUUAUGGAUAUUUGAGAAUUUAUUUUCAUUUCUCUGAAAUCGUGAAGAAGACAUGUGCAGUCCAAUGAAUUUCAAUCUCUUAUCUCUCGGCUCGACGCUUUCAAAUUUCAAUAAUACUCAAAUGUGGAACAACAAAAAGAGAUAGAUAGAGACAUGCUAGUUUAACAACAAGAACAUCAAUUCAAUGUCAUCCAACUAGACAUUGAUUCAUUAUGACAUGCACUUUUAUGUUAUUAAAAAAAAAUCAAUAAUUGAACUCUCUUGACUUAAGUGAUAUCAUCAAGGAUAUAAUUUAUAAAAUCUAAGAAAUAAUGUAUGGCAUUUUAAAAAAGUCUGUGCAACAUGUGUUGAAAGUAUGUACAUAAAGACUUCAAUGAAGAAGCAAAACUACAGAGAAACCAAAACAUUGUGUUAAAAAUUGGGAAAAUUUGAAAUUGUCCAAAAUUAUGUGGAUCUAUCUCGUACUUGUAAUUCAUAUAAUUCAUAUUACUGCUCUAUGACAACAUGUUAGUCCGAUUGAUGUUCUGCUGUAUAUAUGUGGCCUGGUUUCUUGCCUUUGGCCUCACCAUUUGUCUGUCAACAGUGAAAUGUUUGUAAAGACGCGUUUUUUACCUCUAAAAAUGCUGAUAUUAAUCUGCCAGAAAGGUGAAACGACUGUUGCCCAUUGUUAAAAGAUGUCAUGAUUGUGUCUUUCUUUACGGGUGAUGGACCUGCCCAUGCGAAGACGUCGAGUUGUGAGUGCUUCGAACAAAACCUCCACUGCAUCUUCAAGUGCUUUGGCUUGAUUAUCCAAUCCAUGGGAAACAAAAUUUGGAAGGUCAUGCAGCUCAUCGAGGAGGCCUAUGGCUGCAGCUGCUGUACAUGUACGAUCCCAUGAUGGUUGGGGUCUGCAUUUGGCCAAAACGUUAGAUAUGACUCCGGAAAAGCCAAAGAGAAAGUAAUAAAGAUGAAUGAGUCUGCUGCAGAUUUGGGAUCAUGUAUCCUACCUGAGUUUAUGCAUCAAGGAUGCUCCUGUGUUCAGCGUUAUGCAAGGAAUCUCCUCCUCCCCCCACAUCACCUUGUACCGAUCCUAAUCAUUAAACAUAUCAGAUCAAUUGUUUGUCAUUGAGAAAUCGAUUCACAUUUCCCAAACUCAAAUAAAUCCUAACAUCAAUGCAACUUUGGCUACACAGGUGAAACUAAAGAAAUACAAAAACAGCAUACCCAGUGUAGUCCCACAAGUGUGGUCUAGGGAGGGUAGGAUAUACACAAACCUUAUUACCCCUCCCUACCUUUGUAGGGUAGAGAGCUGUUUCUAAUAGACCCUCAGCUCAAAAGAGGUGAAACUAAAGAAAUAUUGUGGAUAAUUCGUUGUAACAAGUUUUACUCACUUAAAUCCAACUAAAAAUCUUGUACUUCUUACACAUGUGCCACUCUUUUGUACUUCUUAUGACUUGGGAAGUACCUCCAAAUAAGAGAAUACAAAUAUGGAGCGGAUAACAGCACUAGAUGAAUAACCUCUCCUACAACUGUCCAUGCAAUUUAGUCAUUCUGAGAGAGAUAAUGAAGGGAUGGGAGGACUUCGACAAAACAUUCAACAUAUUUGCUUGGGAGGGGCGGUAGGAUAAGAUUGUGGUAUCAGACUUUGGUUUUACACCAUUAAGGUCAGAGCUAGAGAUUUUUUCCAUCUCAAGUGAGAAAAAUGCAAGUGUGGCUAAUGAAAUUAGAGAGAUGGUGUCCAGGGCAUUUGAGGUAUCCAGCUCCGAAGGCACAUAUGAGACUUGAGAUUGUUCAAAUGAUAAUAGAUACUAACUUGCCUGCAUCAAACAAAACAAGAAACAAGACAGGUGGAUUUGGAAACGGAAUGCUAGAAAGUUCACCAUCAAAUCAUAUAUAUAUUCUCUUAAGAGGGAAGAGCCAUCUUUAAAAACUAAGGAUAAAUAGAAUACAUAUUUGCUGCUGUUAUUUUGUCCAAGCAAGUUGAUGAAGAUGUCAAUCAUUUGCUCAUUCACUGGACUACCAACCAGUGGAAUCUCCUUUUAGCGAUUUCGGGUGCCCUUUAAAGUAUAAGUUCUAUAUAAAUUAAAGAAACAAAAGUUCUGCCCUUUUGGCAGCUAUGCAAGUCAAUUAUCUUAUUAUUUCUCGUAUAGAGCUUCAUUAUUAAAUUUAAGUGGUUCUAACAUGCACAACUGCAAUUGAAACAGUGCAUAUAACGUAAUUAACUUUAAAGCAACUAAAGUAAUCAUAACAGUAGAGACAAAACUUUUUCAAAUGUCCAUCAAAAAUGCUUUUUAAAUGUCCUGUAAUAUAAGUACUACAAUCUAAUUGGUUCAACCUCAAGUUAUUAUAUCAUUCUUUUGCACCCAAGGUUUUCCAACCUUUUUAUAUAAUAUAACUAACUUUAAAGCAAGUGAAGUAAUCACCACGGUUGAGGUGCGUGCAAGCUGACUCAGACACCACGGUUACUAAAAAACAAAUCCUAUCAUUACCCCACCCCACCCGACAAUGUUCAUGGUAAAAAAUUUUGUUAGUUAAUGAUCUGAUUUGAAUUUAAAAAAUAAGAGUUACGUUGCGAGCUGAAAUACCUUUAAACGGCUGAACAUUGCACCCGAAUUGCUCCACGUCCCAUCAAUUAGAAUAAAAUUCAAGGAAUGGGCUCCAUCUGCCUAUAUAUUAGCAGCAUAAAGAGUCAAUAUUCAUACAAUAGAAAAUGAGAACCAUCACAUAAACAAAAGUUCACAUGAAUGAUCACUUCCAUGUGGUUUGAGAAGCAAAACUACAAGUCAAACUGCCAUUAUAUGAAACUAAUAUUGGCAAGCACUUGUUCAAAAGAAACUGCAUUGCACCAUGAAGAACAUUAUCAUCCUAUAUAAUUAGGUACAUUCCACGCAAUUAAGUCUUUGUCAUUGUACUUAAUAGCAUAGAGGUAAAAACCCCACAUCUCCAACCAUUAGGGAGGAAAUUGAUAUGCAAAGGGAUUUAAAUGGGAAAGGACCCCUCUUGAGCUCCUAAUUGUGUGUGUUUGUGGUGGGGCUUUGGGAGAGUGAAAUUUACCAUGGUUAACUCAAAGACUGGCACGAAAAACAUAAAGACAGAAUCUUUCAUUUAAGGGAAGCCAAAUAGUUGAGAAAAACAAGAAGCAAAAUAGCUUAUCCCUCUUUUUAUUCUGAAGAGAUAGAGAAGUAAACCAAUUUACAUAUCUAAAGUUUCCUUGUGGGUAACUCCAUCAUAUUCUACUAAGGCCUAAGGUAUUGGGAUGUCUUUUCACUUUUCCCAGUCUCGAAAUCAUUACCCUGAAUUGCUUCCAGAGAAGAAAAGAAUGAGAAAACAACUUGCUCUUUUGUUUCUACUUUUACUUCCCCACAAUCAUCUUGUCAAUGACAACUUUAGCCAUAUUACCAAGUAAAAAGUUAGGAUGGCGUACCAUCUCAGGAUGGUUUUCUACAUUUGCAAAAGAAAGCCCAGCCAUGCUAUCCUUGACAGAAUUUGUUGGUGCAUUCUUGUUGGGAUAAAGACACCAAACCUUGUCUUUUCCUGAAAAUGAUGUAAAAUGCAAAUCAAAAGGUAAUCGCAGGUUCUAAUAGAAAAGGUUGAACAGGAUUCAAUCAAGUAAAGCUUAACUUGUUUAAAUAGAUAAACAGGACACAUAAAGAUAACUUGGCUCCACAUGCUAUCCCUCUUUUCAUGCUACAUAGAUGGUGCCAAUUAUAACUGAUGCAUUAUACAACAUCCAAAAACUUGUGAUCAUGAAAACUGGAUAGAAUAGUGAUCAUGCUCCCGUUACCAUGAAUAUUCAAACAUGAUAUCUAAAGUUCAUUUUUUCCAUUAUCUAAUGUUAUUGAAUGCAUCAUACAUGAUUAUGCCGACAAGUCCAUUAGUUAAAUAAGAUAGUUAAUAACUGAAUUGUCCUCUUUACUGUUGUCAAGAUAUUGUUAGGAAAAACUGAGAAACAUGUUAACAAUUAGGAGGCAGGAAGCUAACAAAAGUUUGGCAACAUUUUCUACUAACGCAGACAAUUCAAAGACACAGUGAUCCAAGAAUUUGACAAUAUCAUGACUUGUGCAUGUUAGAAACAGACCACCCACCCACUAAUUUACUAGAAGUGAUUAACAUGCUUAAUGGGGCAAAGGGCAGCCCGGCGCAUUCACGCAGGGUCUGGGGAAGGGCUGCACCCCGAGGGGUGUGAUAUAGACAGCACACCCUAAUGCAAACAUUAUUGGCUUUUUGCACGGCUUGAACCUGUGACCUAUAGGUCACGCGGAGAAAACUUUUACCGUUGUUCCAAGGUUCCCCUUCUAUUAGUUUGGCAAGACACCUCAAUUCUGUCUUUAACCCUAGGAUGCGAAACACAUGCUUACACAGUCCAAUUUGGUUAAUUACAUCUGUUGUUCUGAUACUUGUUAGCUACAUAUUGUAUGAUAUUUUUCUAUUCAUAUUCAGCAUUGGCAUGAUAUGUUCUGGGGUAGACAGAGUCACAUGUACAAAGGACACAACCCCUCACCCUCUUGCCCCAAUCAGAUAACAAUUUUGUAUCAUUUUACCAACCACAGUAAGCUGUGCACUCCAAGAUUCUAUAAACAAGCGGCCUUUUCACAUAAAAGACAAGCAUCUACUUUAGGAAUCAUGUGAAGGUUAUGAGCACUCUCGGACGUCUUCAAUAUUCAUGCUAGGACAUACUCUACAGCUAUUUCUUCAUGGUAGAGUGUUAAAUUGGUGAAUUUAAAAACAAAUGAAAACCUGCAAGCUUGAGUGCAUCCCACAUCAUAUCCUCAUGUUCAGUUAUUCCAUAAAGACACAAACUAGCAGCGUGGACACCAAAUACUUGCCACAACAACUUCCCUGUGUUAUUUUGUCGCAAAAAAUCCUGCAAAGAUGGAAAAAACACCAAUUAUGGAUCAUGUAGAUUGAAAGAAGUGAGUGUAAAACAUAAGGAAAUGAAAGGUUUUAAUGAAAAAAAUGCAAAAGAAAAAAAAAAGAUGAAGACAGAUGGUAAAAUUUUGUACCUUUGGGUGCAUGUACAACCAAAACCGCAUCCGAUUCCAAAGAGGACAUGUUAUGAGUUUUGAGCACAUACAAUCGGCCGAGCAAAGCCAACACUUGAGAAUUUAAAACAGAACCAAAACCAAAUGCGAUACCAUCAAAACCUAUUCGUAUGUGAAAAGAAGUCAACUUUUCUAAGGGACAAUCUGCAGAUAACAGCAAUUUUUCAUGCUUUAAUGCAGAAAAGAUCCCACAAACAAAUAAAAAAUGUGAAACAACCCUGAUUUGAUGAGCAAAUGUUUACCUUCUGACAAAGGUAACCCCUACUUCCAAGCACGCGACAUGCAAUUUGGCGAGCUGAAAAGAACUGGAGUUUCUGUUCAGAAUCACCUAAAGAUUGAUAUUUUGCUCUAUGCUUUUUAUCCUCUUGCACCUUGAAGUCACCCUAAAGAUCAGAUCACAGUUAUGAGCUAAUAAAGGGCAAUUAGUUAUUUUUUGAUCAGUUAAAGCACGAGUAAUUCUGAAAGAGGUUAACAAGCCUGAGGUAGAGAUAUAAAGUUCCUAAUUAGGAUUAGUUAAUCGUUUUCAACUGAAAUCACCAAAGUACAUGUAUUUACCAUAACCUCCACUGCAUUAUAUGUUUGAUCUCUCUUUUCUUUUGCUCAAGAGGAUUGACAAGUAAACGUUCCCCAGUUGAGAAGUGACUAAAAGUUGGUGUCAUUCAAAAGUAACAAACUUAACUCCAAAUUUGUUUUAUCGUGUAAUUUAAUAAUCUUAUUCAUUUUAGUAAAUUCUUUUUUCGUUUUCAACCAUCAGUUUAAUUUACACAUUGUUGUAAUUUUAAUCAACCCAAGAGUAAAGUCAAAAUAUAAAUACAAAGAGAAUCUUUCUCUUCAUAAAUAUAAAAAACAAGAGAUAUUCCAAGGAAAUACAAAAUACAACAUAUUAGUAUGGACAUUAUGUUGUCAAAUAAAAAUUUUUAUUGAAUAAUUGUUGUAAAACGUACAAUUGAUAACGGAGCGCUAUGGGAUGGAAAAGUAUUCUUUUUUUUAAUGAUGUGGUGUUUGGAUAUACAACUUGACUAUCCCAAUGGGGGUACCUGCUACUUCCCACCGGCAUAAGUAUCGUAGUUUUACCAAGGCUUAGACAUAUACUUUUUUGUUGUUGAGAUGGAAAAAACUAUCUAGUGAUUUUUUCUCCCCGGAAUAUGAUCCCUCGUCUCUUAAGUUUGCACCCACUUCAUCGACCACUAGACCAAACCAUCCAGUAAGGGAUGAAAAAAUACUUAAUAAGGUGAGAGGCAUGUUUUAUAGGAAGACUGUGAAACUAACAAUAUUAUAUGGGAGUGAAUGUAAGACUAGGGAAUCCCAAUAUACAAAAUAUAAAUGUUGUACCACUACGGAUUAUAAAUGAUCAAAUCUGAUAAGACAAUUGAAAUAGCAAAUAGAGAGGAUAAAGUGAGAGAAGAAAGCCUCUUAAUGUAGACCUCCCGAUGAACCGGUUUUCAGGUACGAAAUUACAAUGAUUGUUAGUAAUAGAAAUGGGUGUGGUAGAAAAACUUACAAGAACAGAAUUUGCCUAAAAAGAUUUUAAAAAAUACAUAAGCAAUGCAAACCUAAUUAAGAACACAACAUAACAAAAGCAUAAUAUCUCUACAAGUGAUACCAGUUUUAGUGAACAAAUACACUAACACUCGUAUAUCUCUAGAGGGAUAAACUUAGUUAACCAUGUAGUAUAAGAGCGUGAUUUAGACAAACUAACCGCCUUAAAGGGAAAUAUUUACUAGUGAAAACAAACAGACAUGAAUAGAGUCCGAUACCCAGAAUAAAAAAGACCUGAAUAAAGCAUAAUGGAUUUAGAUGAAUCAUAUAGCCGACUCCAAUCGAUUCAGAAUUGAGGAGUAACUAGUUGGUGCUGAUUAAUAUUGUUUCAAAAUACGAGAACAAUCCUAGGAUAAAGCAUUAAAAAAUCGUCAAUAUGAGUGGUAAUCAAACCGACUCAUCUACACCUCAUCUUUGAAGCAUGAUAAGGAAUCCCAAAAAAGAUCGAUUGAGACUGCAUCCAGGGAUUCCACAAAGAUCUCUAAAAUCUUGUCUAGGACAAGUGAGAUCUUCAGUCUGCAUGCUUGAGAGCUACUCAAACAAAAAAGAGUCUGGUUCAGUCCAAAUUCAGGCCCGUCACACCCAACUAGAAAGGCUAAAAUAGAAGAGGGAGUAAGAGAAAACAUCUAAAACUUAUUAUUUUGUAUCAAACAGUAUAACUACUACUAGGGAAGCAGUUCUACAAAAGCAUAUAACUGUAAGUCCAUUAGUGACAUUCAGUGUUCCCCUGUUUCCUGUUUAGCAUUACAACAACAAAUUACCCACUGAAAUCCACAAGUGAAGUCUAGCGCUAUCUCGUAAAGAUUAGAGAAGCAUUGAUGAAAAAAAAAAUCAUUGGCCCUAACUACUUGUUAAGAAGUAACUUGUCUUCAAAUUAAACAACCCCUAAGCGUUUAAAAGUAGAAUUACAGUUAAUCUGAAACAAGAAUGCAGAAUGUACAAGGGAAACACAAAUGGAAAAAAAAAAAAGGAAUCAAAUCUUUUACCGAAAGUUUGCCAUGAUUUCCACCAAAGACCAUUUGGGCAUCAACGUUUUUCUCCAACAUAUUCAAAUCCUCAACAACCUGAGUAACCAUGGAAGGUACAGUUGAUGUAGUCCCCCAACCCCUCCAUUCUUCAAGGCUAAUUGCAGCUUCUCCAUUGCUUACAACUACUUUCUGGGAUUCUCUUGAAGAAGAAUGAUCUGCAGCCAUUGUUGUGGAGAAGGGUUUUGAGGAGUCCAUUGAAGUAACUGUGUUGUUGCAGAAUUGUUGAAGAGGAAAAUGGAAGGAGCUAAUGAAGCUCAAGGGUCUUGUUGCAAAAAUCAGCAUUGUAUUCUUCAAUUUUCAUCAAAUCUAAGCCCAAUUUUGUUAUACAUUCUCUCAAAAAAUCUCAUAUGUAUCAUUUUAAGCCCAUUGGGCUAGAUGGAUAUGCUAACAAUUAGCCCAAAGGAAAAUUGUAAAAUUUUCAUGGAAAAUCUACCAUAUUAAACAAACAUUUCUACCGUAUUUACUAAUUCUCCGUAUAGUUUGAAAUAGUUUCAUAUUAUCUCACUAAUUAAUAAUGAGAAAAUUGAAUGAAAUUGUAAACUAUUAAUCCAAAUUAAAUUUUAUAACUCUAGUUUGUUUUAUUUGCAAUUCGCAAUAAACAUCCAUUUUUUUUGUCAUAUGAUUGGGUAUUCAAUAAGCCAUUUUCGGUAUACAAUUAGUCAUUUUAUACAUCUCAGUAUAAAAUGUAUGAAAUGUGUUUGUGUUUGUAUAAAACGAAAGAAAAGUGUACACGGAAAUACAAAUAUAGAUAUUCGUCAUAUACACUUAUGAUUAUACAAAUAUAGAUUUUACUAUACAAAUUACAAUGUAUAAAUGAUUUUAUGUAAAGCUGAGCAUUAGUAUAAAAUUAGAUGUAUCUAGCUAAUUAUACAAAUCAAAAGCUCCAUAGCAAAUAUUAAAUUUGCUAUGAAGCAUAAUUAUGCAAACUAUAGUUAUAACUAGGAGUGGCAAACGAGUGAGUUGAGUCGAUCAAAAAAUGAGUUAAAUAAAAAUGUAAGUUACCCAACUCAACUCAUAUUUUAGAUGGGUAAAAACAAGUUACCUAAUGAAUAAUAUGAGUAAUCAUAUUUAAUCAUAUUAUAUUAGAAAUCUUGUUAAAAACUUUAAAACAAAAAAUGAUAAUUUAUCACUUCACUUCACCCUUACCAGCACCCCUACCCCCACUCCUCACUCCCUACCAGCCCCCCUCACCCUCCACACCCCCAUCCAAAAAAAGAACUAAUGAUUUUUUUGAAAAAAAAUUAUCAACCCACCUCCUACCAGUCCCCCUCCCCCUACCAACCCCUAUCCCAAAUUAUAAAUGUAAAAAAACAGUUUCAAAAAAAAACUUUCUUACUAUCUAACCCUUUAUCACUUUUUUUUGUUUGUUUGUUUUUACCCAUUCAUCCAUUUAACUAUCCAUUUUAAAAUGGUUAGUAUUGAUAUUACUCAUUUUUUAUCUAUCUUUAAAUGAGUUGGAUACCCAAUUCAUUUAAAAGGAUAAUAUGAAUGGAUACCCAUAUUAUUUACCCAUUUUGUCACCUUAACUAUAGCAUACAAAUAUGAUUUUUAUGUUUGCUAUAUGUGAAAGUUGCUACUUAAUAAUUAUAUACACAAUUUCAAGUCAAAUAUAUCUACAUACAUGUAUUUUUGCUAUUUGAUACACUAAAUUAGGUAGAGAGACGAGCAAGAAAGGAGAGCGAGGACUGAUAUAAAAGAGAGACGAGUAAGAGAAUUAGAUACAUGAGAAUCUAUUUGAAUACAGUUUAUUUUUAAAAAAAAUUAUAUCUAACUUUGAACCAUGUUACAUAAUAUUAUUAACUAAUAUGAAUAUUAAUAGUUGUACAAUAAUAUUUUUUCCAAUUCAUAGCAAUUAAAGUAUAAUGUUUUGAUAAAGUGGAUCUUUUUUGGAAAGAUUAAAAAACAUGGCAAAUUAUUAUUGUUGCAAACUAAAGAAAUAAAUUGGGCUAAAUCAUAUCCAUCUAACAAGCCCAAUGAGCUUCUAAGGCCCAAAAUACCAUGGAGUAUCUAAAAUGAAAUUUGAUUUUAGACUUUAGAUUCAAUAAAAUUUCAUAUAUCAUUAAAAAAAAAAAGUCAAACUCAACUUGUCGCUUUUUCAAAAUAACAAUUCUUUAAUUUUGAGGUAUUCUCUUAUUUAAUUUAUUUCAUCAUAUAUUAGACCACUUCUAUAACAUGCAUUAAAAUAAACUUUUGAAAUAGGAGAUAAAAUGGAUUCUAUUUAUAAAUGGAAAUCAAUGUAGCGUUUUCUUUGUUCCAUUAUUUAAUUUAUUUCAUCUAUUUCUUAUUGAGUAGUAAAUUGAAAACGAUAAUAAGGGGUGGAAUAUACUAUGGUUAAUGUACAAGAAAAAUGUAAUAAAUGGAGUAUAGAGUAUAAAUUUGGGUUUGAGAUGUUAAAUGUUAUAGAAAAUCAAAUGUAAUGAUAUAGCUUGAUAAUAUUAUUAUAAAAAUGUUAUAUACACAAUUUUUACAAAACUAAAAUUAUCUCUUUUAAGUUUACGGAUUCAUUCAUAUGUCACAAACUUAUUUAAAUUUUUAUAUCCUAACAAAAAAAAUCACAUGUCAUUUUAUUUACUUUCAACGUAAUCCAUACAUACAAGACGAACUCUAUCAUAAACAAGACUUUAUUCUAUUUAAAUAUGAAUAAAGUUUGUCUAUACCUUACUUUCUCUAUGCAUUAAAUAUUUAUUAUUGCAAUUUAAAAGAACUUUAAUUAUGAUAAUAUAAAAACCAUAAUUAAGAUUUUCUAGAACUAUCGAGAAACCAGAAACUAAACUAUUUGGCACAUGAUGUACAUUUUUACAAACAAAAGAAUAAACUAAUUUAUUUGAAAUUCAUGAAAUGAAAUUAGAAAACAAGUUUUGAACACCUAUCUAAUAUUGAUAUUCAACUCAAAGUUGAAUUUUAAAAUUUCAUGACCAAUACUGAGUUUGAAAUUAAAAAAUUAUUUCAUAAAAACACUUCCAAUAGAUUCUUCAAAAGUAAUCUUUUUUUUUAAAAAAAAAAAAUUAUUCAAGGCUUGGUUAAUUUGCCCUCGGUGAUCAAAAGGGUUGAAGAACCAACAGGAGCACUACAAGUGGUCAAUAAAUGGCCAGAAUCAACUGUCCAUAAGUCAAUAAUCAUUUAAUUAAUAGAUUAAUAAUUAUAAUCAAACCAAUUAUAGUCAAUGGAAAAUAUCCUUUUUUUAAAAAAUUAAUUCCAUGAAAUAUCAAAUAUUAUCUUAUUGUAUAUUGAAAUCAUAAUUUAAUACAAUAAAUAAUUCAAACAAUAAUAUUUUCUUCCGUCGGUCAGAUUACUUAUUCCAUCUCCUUGAUCCUUUAAUUAAUUCACACAAUUAUAUCUUAUUUAAUUUCAAAGUAUUCUAGAGGAUUUUAUUUUAUAUUUUAAAAACAACAUGGAACUAAAGAAUUAUAUACUUAACAAUAUGUACAAAGUAUGUCACUAUCAAGCCAAGUUACAAAUUUUGUACAAACCACUACUGUAUAUAACAUGUUAAAUUGUACCUUACUAAAUAAGUCCCUCUAGUCUUAAUAGCUAUCACUCACUUUGCCAUGUCAGUUGGUGUUAAAAUGUCACGACGAAGCCUGACAUGAAGUGUUUAAAAUGAAUAAAAUCUAAUUAAAGUGUCAAAGUGAAAAUUACUGUCAAAUCUAGAAGGCCACCGACAAUUUAAGCCCAUAUAAAAAAUAAUAAUAUUUUAUUAUAUAAUGUUCAUAUUUUUCAAAAAUAGACGAAGGGGUCAAGAACUUCAAUACUAAUUUGUGGUGAAGAAUGCUAAUGUAAAAAGAAAUUAUGACAAAUUCAAUUUCAUUAAUUCUUACACAAAAAAGGUAUAAAUUUAAUAUUUCGAAAAAAUUAUUAUCACUCAUAAAUAAUAAAAUAUACUACUUAUAAGAUAUAUCUAGAAGGGCGUUACGUUAAUUUUAGUGUAGUCUAUUAUUUUAGAAAAAUUAAAUAAAAAUAGGCCACGUAUCUCUAAUUUUAAGAAACUUCUUACGUUUGUUGAUUUUUCUUUCUUUAUAAUACGAACAAUUUUUUACACGUCUGGUCCUUUUUUUCCAUAUUAAUCAAUUUUCGAAAAUGUUGUCACAUUACUGAAAAUAAGCAAAUAUUCUUCUGUUUUGUGCGUAAGCUAAAGUAUUUGAUACUGCUAAGAAUAAAUUUUCCAUUUUUAUCCCUUUGAACAUUGCCGAAAAUCGAGGUUUGAUGAGUUUUUCUUUUUCGAAAUUUGCAGUCGCUACAAUUUUUGUCACGAUUUUUGUCAUUUUGGGUGAAAACUCUUUAGUGAGGACUCUGUGCGCACUGAAUAAAUUGAUAGUCUCAUUUAAAAAAAAAAAGUAAAAAUUUUUGAAUAAAUUUCAAACUGCUAUUUAUAAGUUGAAAAUAACUUUUGUUACUAUUCAAAAUUAUUUAUUUAUUUUACCAAACUUUGAUCAAACACCUUUAUUUUAUUUUCUUUAUAACAUAAGAUCUUUGUUUAAUUUUUUUUUUUUAAAUAAUUCAAGAGUUUAGCUAUACAUGUUUAAAACUAUGAUAUAUUAAUUGACUUGAUUUUGACAGUACAAAAAAAAUAACAAUCACCUAAUCUCUUUUUCCAUAUUUGUGUACUAAAUAUAUUGUUUUUAUACUAGUGACAAUGAUAUUAGUAUGUCAUUAUUGGUGCAAGUCCAAAUAAGGUGAAAUAUGAGAAAUGUCAAAAGGUGAAAUCAAUUAGCUCAUUAUGACAUCAACUAUCAUUUAUUUUUAAGAUUUGAACUUGAAAUUUAUAAUUAAGGGUGAAAAUAGCUUUAUUAUGACUGCAUCAUAAUUCAAAUUAAAGGACAUAACAAUUUUAUUAUGACUGUAUCAUACUCCGUAUUAAUUAGUACUUAAAUAUUCCGUAUUGAAUGGCGAAAUAAUUUCAUUAUGACUGCAUUAUAAUCUGUAUUGAUUAGUACUUAAAUGUUAGUACGAACAUGAAUUAUUUUGAUGGUACGUGAAUUGUGAAUUGUUUUAAUGUAUAAAAAUUACAAAAAGUCUAGUGAAUUACUGGCAAAAAGGUUUAAGAAUUACUUUAAUUAUGUUACAUAUUUAUAAUCAUCAAGUAUGGCAAUCUAUUCAUAUUAUUUUUGAUCCCCGCCGCAAUGAAAAUAAUUUUUAGCGAUGAUAAAUAUUGACAUUAUUAAAAAAUAUUAAAAUCAUCUUCGACAUUAGUAGAACUAAUAUCACAAAAAACUUUAAAGAACAUAUACACAGAAUGCUAAUUGCUGCUAAAAAUACAAUCUUUAGUCGUCACUAAUGAUCAUUUUUGAGAUAGUGAUCUGUGUGUUAUAAAGUCAAAAAAUCUAAAUAUGUAACACGACGUACGUUUUACACUAAUGUUAUUAUUUUCUGUUUAAACCUAUUCCAGUCAAUUCUAUUCUAUUGUAUCUAAUUAUGACUUUUAAUUAAGAAAAUUUGUGAUUUGUGGACUAAUUGUUAUGACAAUUAUACAUGGGAAUCUCCUGUCCCUAAUAAGUUAAUCUUGUUUCCAUUUUAGCAGCCUAUGAAAAGGCAUGCAUGGUUUGGUGGCCGCCACUCACAAAUUCGAAAAAUUAACUUGUAAAUAAUUAUAUAAGUUUAUCAGUAUAAUUCAAGUAUACACAAUAUCUAACACAUUGAUGAUAUAUGUGUAUAUUAUUUAAUAUAAGUAUAUACUAUAUGCAUCUUUUGUAGAUUAGAUAACCCAAAAAACAUUGUUAAUACAUAAUUUUUCCUUUGAAAAAUUUGAACUCGACGGUUAGAAGUUCUAUUCACACAUUUCAUUUGAUUUACUAUUUUCAAAAUCUAUUAAAUUAUACUCUUUUAUGUAGAUUUUUCGACAUAUAUCUAAGAACUUUGACGCUUUAAGCCUGUUUGCAAGACACACUUAUAUUAAGUUAAAAUAUCUAAUGGAUAUCGAAUAAGUUUUAAUAUCAAAUCAACGAUUGAAAACAUAUUUAAAUUUUUAUUUAUAUAUUAAGUUGUCUUACACAUUAGAUCCACCAACCCUGCCUUUGAAUUAGUUGGUUUGAUUCCCAAAUUCACACAAACUUUUUUUGUCUCACCAUUGACAAGCAUGUUUAGGCUGACACAUUAAGCAGGAAGAAUAUUAUCAGACAAAAUAUAAUUAAUAGAAGUAUUAAAUAUUCUUAAUCACUGAAAAUUUUAAUUUCGUCAAUGAUUCGUCAUGAGAAGAAAUUGUUUAUCUGUAUUAAAGAAAAGAUAUAAUAAAUAUAUUUAAGGGUAACAACAUCCCUUUGUCUCAUGAGAAAUCUUCUUUUUUUUUUAAAGUUUAUCCGAAAAACUAAUAUCACCUUAUUAUAAUUUUAUUAAAAUAAUUUAUAAUUAUACAAAUUUGUAUGAAUUGUUUUACCACUAUUUUAGAAGUCAUCAUUUUUAAAAAAAAUUAAACCAUAUAAAAUGAGUAAGUGAGUUCUAUCUAUUUUUCUGCGGCAACAUGUACUCUAAACUCGGCAAUAAUAAUUUUUUCCAUAAUAUUCUAGAACUCUAAACGGAUCAUUUUUUACUUUGAUCCCUAUUUUGUGUCAAUAUUUAUAUUUUUGUUCUUCAUAACAGAUAUUUUUUUUUACAUAAAUCUCAUAGUAUAAAAAUCUAAAUUACAUUCUAUCCCUACUCUUUUUUAAUUAAUAAAAAUUUCUCAAAAUUAUUGUUAUCCAGAUACAUAGCAAGGAACACGGAUAUAUAAAAUAUGAUACAUAAAAACAAAAUUAUUUACACUUUUAAAGGAAAGAAAAUAUAAAAUUAAUGUGAGUUCCCCAAAUUACGGUAAUUUAGUUAAAUUCAAUCUCUCUCAAAUCUUAAAAGAUUCAAUCAAAUCAAAAUUCAAAUUUUCUUCUCUCAAAUCUCUUCCAAAUCUGCCCAAAUUCAAUACAAAAUUUAUUUUUUCUUCUCUCAGUUCUAUUUUAAAUCCGUCUAGUUUCAAAAAUUUCAAAUUUUCUUCUUUCAAUUCUCACCCAAAUUAAUAGAUUGAAAAAAGUCAAAAACAAUAGCUGAUUUUAUCGGAUGCGUAUCUAUAAAUUUGGAUAAUUAAUACAUGGGUGAAUCAACUAAUUUUUUUUCAUUGUUAAUUGUGCUCUCGUGUUAUAAUAUCCGGGCUCCUCUUUGAACGCUUGUGCAAAGAUAUCAAAUUUCUCAUAUAUUAGUAGCACAAUAUUUGAAAGGAAAAUAUGAAAGAAAUAUUUUAAAAUUCAAGCAAGAUGUGAAUUUUGCAGUGGGAGAGGCAACAUCGCUUGAUUUUGCCUACUUGUUGGACAACUGAGUGGGUUAAAAAUAUAUGAUAUCUUCUUUUUGCAAAUUUUCUUCGGGUAAUAGCCCUGAGCAGUCCAUAUUGGUACUAUGAAAUUAUUCAUGUGUAUCUGUUACACAUUGAAACAACAUAUAAAAUGGUUGAAGAGAUACAUAACUUUGAUGGAUACAUAUUUGUGUGGUUAUUGCUAUGUAUCAGAUAUAUUUAGUAUAAAUUUAAAUUGAAGUAUCAUGUCUAAAAAAUUAGUGCAUGAUUUAUUAGUAUUUAUGUAUCUUAUUUUAUUUGAUAAAUAUUACAUUUUAUAAAAAGAAACAUGAUACAUAUAAUUAUUCUAGAUAACAUUUUUUUUGUGUAGGAUACAUAAAACAGUAGUGAUCACUUGAUACAUAUAAUGAUAUACGUAAUAAAGUUUGUAAAACUGUUGAAUUUGGUAGAUAAUAUGUAUCAUGCACCUGUCAAAUAGACGGGUGGAUUAUAGAGCUAGGGUAGGGGCAAAUCGAAGGCCCAUCGGGAUUGGGCAUGGACGAGCCUCGACUGGGCCAGCAUUGAUGAAAAAAGAAAAACUUCCCCCAUCGCAUCAUUAACCGGUGUAGGAUUUAAGGUUUGUGUAUCAACUGUAUUUAUUAAGAUUGAUACAUUAUUGUUUGGUAAUUGUUAUGUAUCAGAUAUAUUUAAUAUGAAUUUGAAUUUACAUAUCAUGUCAAAAAAUUAGUGCAUGAUAUAUUAUUAUCUAUGUAUCUUAUUUUGUUUGAGAAAAUACUAUAUUUUAUUUUAUUUUAAAAAUAUUAUACAUGUAAUUGUUUUAAAUAACGUAUUUUUUUGGUGUGUGAUACAUAACACAAAGUUUAUUUAUCAAGUACCUUUGUAUUGAAUAUGAUAAACACAUCAAAGAUUCAACAACACUAGAGUUAUGUAUCAAUACCUUAAAUAUGAAAAUGAUAUGUUGCAUAAAACAAAAGCAAUUGUAGCAGUGAUUUAGUAGACCAGUGAUAACAAUAAAAAAAGACUAAUUUAAGAAUAGAAAAAGCGAGACACAUUGAUAGUAAGCCCAAAAAACUAAAAGAUCGAGCCAACAUAAUGAAGUGUAUCAAGAUCGCAAUUAGAAAUUUCUGAAAUCAUUUCGAAUGCACUCCAAGAUAAACUGUGGAUUAACAAGGAUUUUCCACCUCUCUUCCGUAAAUAGUCCGAGAGUAAAAGAUUCAUUAAUUUUUUUAAGAUAAAAAAUAAAAAAUUGAAGUGGAUGAAAGAAAUCUAACUCUUGAAUAACUUGAAAUCUUUUAUUGGAAAGAGAAUUUUUUUUUGAAAUUCAAUAAUAGAUUAAUGAAAGUAACUGUAGAGAGAUUUGUGGAGUGAAAAAAGGAAGUAAUAUCAUGGUUAAGAAAUUCAAAUUAAUGUAUCUGAAAAAAAAAAUGAUGAGAGAAAAAAAGAAACUGUUGAUAUUUAUUGAAAUGGUAGGAAAAUAAGAAAAUAUGUUAAGGAAUGAUGUGUAGUUAGAUAUUUUUUUCAUUUUUUUAGGUCAUAAGUUCAUAUUAUUUUCAUAUCUUAAUAUUUUAUAAUUAAAUAUGACUUUAGUUUUGGAAGAACUUAUUUUUUAAGGAUAAAUUCAAUCGUUAAAUAAUUUUUUUUACGACAAAGGGAAAUCCACAAUCGCUACUCUGCCCUUUGGGUGCAGACAGGGUAAAACAUCGCUCCUAUGCAAUAUAACUUGCAAACCACAUAUGAGAGGUAACCCGCACUAGCCAAUCUUGUGAGACGAGCUCGUCCCAGAAAGCAAAUCCCUUACUUUUGCUGGCAAGGGUUUCAAACUUGAGACCUCCAACAUGGAAGUCCUAAGCUCAAAACACUGGGCUACCCAAAAUAAUUCAAUCGUUAAAUAACUAAAAUUAAAGAUCAUCCCAUUCGAAAGAAAAGAGUACAAUUUUAUAAAUCUAAACUAUAACUAAGCAAAUUUUGACCUUUAGAAAAGUAAUAAUAAUAACCCAAGAAUUCUAAUUUUUGGCCCUCACAAAAAUAUGGUGCAUAAUUAAGAGGAUUUGCAACUUGUAACCAUUUAUAUGUUCUUAUUAGGUUGAUUAACUUAAAAAAAUUAAAUAUAAUAUCUAAGAACACAAAAAAAAAAGUUAUCAAAAUUAAAUCACGGUACACGCCUCACACCACCUGCAUUAACUAAAGGAAAAGUCAAUAUAUAUAUAAUUGGAGAAAUAUACGAUUAAGGAUGGGCAUGAUAUGAUAUAUAUUGAAUUAUCAAAUUAUAUAGAAUUUUUUAACACCCUGCUUUUGGUAUUAGGGUAUUCAUAUAAUAUAUGAUAUGUAUUUAAGUUGUUUUUGAUAUUUGAUACGGUGUUUGCUAUUUAGAAAUUAUAUAAUGUCAUAUUGAAGUACAUAGUAACAUAAUAUAUACAUUUUAUUAAACUACUAACAAAUAUCAAAUCUAAUAUUAAUAUAAAUUAAAGUUUAGAAGUUGAAACUUUGACUACUCUAUUAUGUUUGGAAUUUAAUUUUUUCAAAAAAACAAAGAAUUUAUUUGUACUUUAUUUUUAAUAUAAAUUUCUACACGUGUAACGUGGUAGAAUAUUGCAAUUGAAAUCUUUUUUUAAUUAUCAAAAAUACAAUACUCUAUUAUACAAAUAUAUAUUAAUCGAAGUUAAACAAAUUAAUUUACCAUACUGUACAGUAUCAAAAACAAAUUUUAAAAUACUUUCUAUAUCAAAUUAAAUUGAUAUGAUAAUAAUAUAAUAUUUGAGAAAUCAAAUUCCAAAAAUUUGAUACUAAAACUUUAAAAUAUUUUAUUGUAACGACCUGUUUAGUCGUUUUUGAACAGUAGAGUUUAUUCUGGUAAUAACUGUCUGGGUCGACGGAUUCCACGACGGACCGUCAUGGGCAUGACGGACCGUCGAGGGGGUCUCGUUCCAAAAUACUUAGAAUCUAAAAAUUUGGGUACUGAGAACAACUCUCUGAACUUCGCGAUGACAUGGCAGGACGGACCGUCGUAGGCACGACGGACCGUCAUAGACCCUUUAGUGAAAUUGAGUCUCUGGACUUUGUGAUGGAAGCAGCAGGACGAACCGUCGCAGGCACGAUGGGCCGUCACAGGGUGCGUAACCCUGACUGGGUCGGAUUUCUGUUAAAAGUUUUAAGGGGCGUUUUGGACUAUUCCUGCUUAUGAUUAUAAAGUUAGUGGGUUAAUGUUAAUAAUUCAAUUACUUGGGGGUUAAAGAUGACAACCUUGAAUUAAAUAGUGGGUUACUUUUGUCAUCUUUUAUACUUAAUUAUAUGGUAAUUAGGGUAAAAGAAAAAGAGUUUGAAUAAGGAAAAAUAGAAAGAACAGAAGAGGGAGAACGAACGAUCGAGAGAGGGAGAAACGAAGAGGAAAGCAAAGCAUUGGAGAAGUAGAUUUCUUGAUCACGAUUCUUCGGUGGAGGUAGGUUAUGGUUUAUGCUAUUCCGUAGUAAACUCUCAAUAGCGAAUGAUAUGUAUUGUGUAGUAUUGUAAAGUCUUCUAUAUGCUUAAUUAUGUGCUUGCAUGAUGUGAUUAUAUAUAAUUGUGAUAAAAUAAGCAUGAUGAGGCUGUUGAAUCUUAAACCUUAAAACCUCUUUGUUAAUGAUGAUGCCUUGGUAUAAAGGAAGGCUUGAUGAACUAAAAGAAUGAGGUUAGUGGAUCGGGUGUCACGUUCCGACACCAGGAUAGUAUUAAUGGAUCGGGUGUCACGUUCCGGCACCAGGAUAGUAAUAGUGGAUCGGGUGUAACGUUCCGACACCAGGAUAGUAUUAAUGGAUCGGGUGUCACGUUCCGACACCAGGAUAGUAAAAAGAAUGAAUCUUGAAUUAUGUUAAUAUACUCAAUUUAAUGAACCUGAUUCCCAAAUGAGUAUGGUGUGGAGGCUUGAGUCCUCAUAGAUGUGCUUGGGUUGUGCCCAAUGGUUAUGGUACUUGUUGUUGUCACCUGUUAAGUGUUAUGGUUGAUUUUACGUUAUUAUCUGAUAUAUAUUGCUUUCUAUUCUGAGUUGGCCGAUGAUAUUUACUCAGUACUUGUGCUUGUACUGACCCCUACUUGUAUGUUUUCUCGUUUUUAUUUGUGGAGUGCAGCAAACGUACCGUCGUCUUCAACUCAACCGCAACUCUAGCCAGUCUUCGCCACGUCAAAUUUCAGGGUGAGCUAUUGUUCCUAGCUCGGACUGGAUUCUCUCUCAUUCAUGUCUUGAUGUCCUUGAAGUUCGGACAUGGACCAUUUGUUUACUUAUUUUAGCUUCUUAGAUACUCUUAAAUUUAGUAAUUUGAGGAUAGAUGUUCUUGUGAUGAUGACUUCCAGAUUUUGGGGAUAAUGAUAGUAAUUGAUAAACUUUAGAAGCUAUUUUAUUGAUUUCGUUAAUGAGUUUUAAGUCUUCCGCAUUAUAUUCUGUUUAUUAUGGUUGAAAUGUUGGGGUUUAGAUUGGUUGAUUCGCUCACAUAGGAGGAUAAGUGUGGGUGCCACUCGCGGCUCGUUUUGAGUCGUGACACUUGUUAUAUUAUACCAUACCAUGUUCCCUUAUAUACAAUAUUAUAAUAAUAAUAAUAAUAAUAAUAAUAAUAAUAAUAGUUGUUAGUGAAACACCUAAAACCAAUGUGAUAUAACAAAAUUUUUAAACAAUUCAUAAAGAUAUUUGUAUUAUUAUUAUAUCAAAAUGGCAGCAUUUUAACGUAACUGCUAUCAAGUGGUCAUUAAAGGUACACUAUUUUUUUUAGUUCGAUUUUCUAUUCGAAAUUUGAAAUUCAUAUUAGAGUCUUGAUAAAUUUGAAUAUAUAUUAUAUAAUUUAUUUGGUGUGAUGCUUUCAAUAAGUUUUUUUCCAUACUCAGGGGUCGAACCACAGACCUCUAGUUAAUAGUGAAGCAAAGUGAGUUGAAAAUAAUGAAAUGCAUGUGUUUGUAACUCGUGACUACACCGAUUAAUUUUUUCUGCAAUACUUUCUCGGUUUAAAAAAGAAUGAUCUCAUUUCUUUUCUAGUCUGUUUAAAAAAGAAUGACUCCUUUUCUUUUUUUGGGACUUUAACUUUAAUUUUCCACGUGGCAUAUUUAAGACCACAAGAUUAAAGGUCAUUUUGGUACAUUUGACAUAAAUUUAAUUUAAAACCACAAGAUCAAAAAAUCUUCUUUCUUUUCUUAAACUUCGUUCAAAGCCAAACUAUGUUAUUCUUAUUUAAACGAAUGGAAUAUUAUUUUGUGAUAGUAAUUAUAACUUAAGUAUUUAUAAUCAAUAUUUUAUAUAAAUAUCAUUAAAAAUAUUAGCAACUCUAAAUAUAAUGAUAUUAUUUUAAUUGCUGUUUAAAAUUUAAAACCAUUAUAUAUAUAGACAGAUACAUAGAUAGAUAGAUGGGGUGGGGCUUUGAUAAGAUCAUGAGACCACCCCAAUAAUUAGUAUGUGUAUUAUUAGUCCUUAAACUUUCACUAGUUUAUUAUUCUUUUUGUCUCUAUUUAGUUGUCCACUUUAGAAGUGAUACACAUAUUAAGGCAUCAUUUAUUAUCAUAGGUUAGUUAUAAUUUUACCCUUAACUUAAAAAAUUAUGUAAAAUAUAUUUUUCUAAUUCCAAAAAACAUGCAUUACAACUUAGUAGCACUAGAAAAUUUUUAGAAUUAAAUAAGGACAUAUUAGAAAAUAAAUUAUUGUCCUUUCUUAAUUUGUUAAAAUGAACAAGUAAAUAGGAACAGAAUUAAAAAAAAAUAUUGACAAAUAAAAAGGGAUAGAGGCAAUAUAUUUAGUGAUAGAUCAUGUUAGGACUUGGAGGUGUGCUUAUCCAAAUUAGUUUGUCUUAAUCUGCAUUUAAUUAAUAGCACAUGAGAAAAGGCAUAAGAAGAAACACACAUACAUCUCACUUUUUAAUUUAUAGUACGAAGUUAUAUAUAUGACUUUAGUAAGGGUUGAAUAUUUUAAUUGGAUUUUCAUUGUUUCAUAUUUUUGUGCAAGUCAUGAAGUUUCCGAGUUCUUGUUUCAAGAAUUACUGAUAUUUUCUUACAUACCAUAACAUUAAUUCUAAUUUGAAAUUUAAAUUUAAUUUUCUACUUUUCGAAAAAAUGGAAAUUUUCAAUCACGAUGAAAUUAUAGUUGAUGCUUUGUUCCUACAAGUGAUUUUUUAAAGAGCAACUUUCACAUAUAGCAAAUAAAAAAUUCAUAUUUGUAUGCUAUAGUAAAGUUUGUAUAAUUGCACUCCAUAGCAACCAUAAAACUGUAUAAUUCGCUAUACAUAUACAUUUGUAUAAUUCGCUGGCCUAUUUCGCUGCAAUUGUAUAAUUUGCUUUGCAUACAGUUGAAUCGAAUUAAAAUGUAUGUACAUUGCAUAAUUAUAAGUGUAUAACAAGAAGAUAUAUGUUUUUCUCGCUUUAUACAAAAACAGAAACACAAUAUAUACACUUAUGUUGUAUAAAGCUAGAGAAAAUUGCAUUUCACUGCAAUUGUAUAAUUCGCAAUUGUAUAGUUCAUUGGCCUUUUUCUCUGCAAUAUUUGAAGUAAAAUGUUUGUAAAUUGUAUAAUUAAGUGUAUAACACGAAGAUAUACAUUUUUGCAUGUGUAUAUACAAUUUUCUAUCGCUUUAUACAAAACAGAAACAGAAUUAUACAUUUAUGUGUAUAAAGCGAGAGAGGCGAGCGAGAUUUUUGGGAGAGAUACGCUGGCAAAUUUUAGCUAAUGUUUGCUAUGGAACACAAUUAAAUCAAACCCUAGCUAUUCCAUUUAUUUUAGGUUAUUAGUUUGCUAUACAAUUUUCCCUUUUUUAAAUCAAGAUCUUAAAUUUAACCCUCAUAUUCUAUUGCCUAACGCUUAUUUAUUUUUUUAAAAGGCAAAAAGAUUGAUUAUGUGACUAAUUAAGUAUAGCAGAUUGAUUAAGAGUCAUAUAAUGUGUACUAAGAAGUUGUCAAUUACAUCAUUAAGUUUGAAAAUGAAAGGAAAAAUUUGGCCAAUCAAAAAGAAAUUAAACAAGUUAUCUGGUUGGAAUUGGAUUAUGAAAUUAAAACGUAUGCUUUAAUUAUUUGUUUUAACAUAGCAAGAUGGUGCUGACAGUUGGUGAAAUAAUGGUUGUACAAAAUUGACAUUUCUCUAAUAAAGCCCAUGCAUAUGGGGCCUUGGGACUCAAAUAUUACAACAAAUAAAAGAAGUUUGUGAUAAUAAAAUAAUGAUAACUUUCACGUAUAGCAAAUAAAAAAUCUAUAUUUGUAUGCUAGCAAAAUUUGUAUAAUUGCGCUCCAUAGCAAACAUAAAAUUGUAUAAUUUGCUAUAUAUAUAUAUACAAUUGUAUAAUUCGUUGGCUUAAAUUGUAUAAUUCGCUGGCCUAUUUCGCUGCAAUUGUAUAAUUCGCUAUCCUUUUUCGCUGCAAUUGUAUAAUGCACAAUUGUAUAAUUCACUGCCUAUUUCACUGCAAUAUUUUUAUAAAAUUUGCUUUGCAUACAACUGAAUCGAAUUAAAAUGUAUGUAUAUUGCAUAAUUAUAAGUAUAUAGCAAGAAGAUAUAUGUUUUUCUCUCGCUUUAUACAAAAACAGAAACACAAUAUAUACACUUCUGUUGUAUAAAGCUAGAGAAAAUUGUAUUUCACUGCAAUUGUAUAAUUCGUUGACCUUUUUCUCUGCAAUAUUUGUAUAAAAUUUGCAUUUGUCUACAAUUGAAUUGAAGUAAAAUGUUUGUAAAUUGUAUAAUUAAGUGUAUAACACGAAGAUAUAUGUUUUUGAAUGUGUAUAUACAAUUUUCUCUCGCUUUAUACAAAACGGAAACAGAAAUUAUACACUUCUGUGUAUAAAGCAAGAGAGGCGAGAUGGGAGAGUGGCGAGCGAGACUUUUGGGAGAGAAGCGCCUGGCAAAUUUUGACUAACAUUUUCUAUGGAGCACAAUUAAAUCAAACCCUAGCUACUCCAUUAAUUUUAGAUUAUUAGUUUGCUAUUAUAUACAAUUUUCCCUAAAAUAAUUAUUGCUAUGUUAUAUUUAGCUAUAAUAAUAUAAUUAUUUAUAAUUAAUACUUUAUAUAAAAUUGCCAAAUACUUUAGUAGUAAUUAUAAAAUACAAUGACAUUAUCAUUAUUAAAAAAAAUAUAUUAUCAUCAAAAUAAUUUUUACCAUCGUACCAUGAUAGUUUACUUUAACUAAUUUUCAAUCUUAAAGUAGACAAAAUGUUAAAAUGAUAAUAAUGUAAGAUUAAGUUAGACAUCUUAUCUCCCAGUCACAAGCUCAAUCGACUACUUUAGUAAAUGAUGGUGAAAUUUUUUAAUUAUAAUUAAGAAGACAAUUUAAUAAAUUAAAGUAUAAUUUUUUUCCUUUUCAAUCAUUUAAUGGGAAAGUUAAAAAUCUUACAUGGAGUAUAUUCCGGAGAAAAUGUACCCUAUAAAUCACCUAGAAAGUCAUUUAACGUAUUUUAAUAGUGUUAUAUUUAAAUUUUAUUCGUUAAUAAUAUUAUAAUAUCUUGAUACUAAUUACUAAUAUCAAUCAUAUAUAUAAUUUAUCUUAAAAUUAAUGAUUAAACAAAAAAUAAGAUAAUAUUAUUAUUUUUAUAGUUUAUAUUAUUCAAAAUACCAAACGACCCGGAAAAUCAUAAAUGUGAAGUUGUGAACUAAGGAUUAAGAAAAUAUCGAUACAUUUAAUAGUUUGUAAAUAAAGGAAAUGAAAGUAUGCGUCUUUAGUUUUAUCGUACAGUUUGGGGAACUAAUUUAUAAUAGAUGUACAAAAUUGACAUUUUCUAAUAAAUCCAAUGUAUAUGGGGCCUUGCUUAUAGGUCAAUUUAACUAAAUUUGUCGAUCUUAUAUUGGACAAAAAGUUGAAAGGAUAAAUCUUAUAAGAUUGAAAUUAAGUUAGAUAUUUUGGAUUUGUUUUACGAUUUUUUUUCUCAAAUAAAGUAAAUCAGUGAGUUUUUUUUAUAAGAUAAUAUUUCAUAUACACACUCGGCUUAUUAUAAUUCACUUAGAAAGUUAUAACAUUAGUAUUUUACCUAAAAAUCACUUGAUCAUUUAAAUGUUUUUCGUUGAUACGAAGAUUUUAUUUUAAACUAGAGUUUUUAAGAAAUAAUAAUAUUCUUUUUAUUCCAAUAAAAUAAAAAAACAAGUCAAUUUAAUAAUUAAUUUAAAUAAAUAACUUUACAACCCAAUUAAUUUAGAAUCUCAUUAGAAUGUUAUUUUUUUAAAAAAAAAUGCAUUGUGGAUAAGUAUUCAUUGAAAUAAAUAAAUAUUCAAGAUGCUUUUCUUUUCUUACUAAAAAGAAUUAAUCAUCUGUAACUACAUUCAAUUAUCAAGAUAAAAAGGAAAUUUAGGUAAGACGUUUUUGAAAUUGAAUUAAAAUAUGAUUACACAUUUAAAGUAAAGCGACAUCCACUAAAACGUAAUUUAUUUGGGUAAUUAAAAUGACAUUUCAACGGUAGCUUUUUAUUUCCUUAAUGCAUUUUUAAGUAGAAGCACCUACGGAACUGUAAAUGCACCAUGUUUCUUUACAAAAUAGUGAUUUUUAUUAAGUAUCCAAACACAUCACUAUAGUUCGGGGCGGAGCGGACGAACCGUUUUGGUAAUUUUUAAGGUUAAUUAUAUAGUUAGGUAUAAUUAUUUGGACCGUUUUGGUAAUUUUUAAGAUUAAUUAUAUAGUUAGGUAUAAUUAUUCGAUACAGAUAAAUGUUACUACCCAUAGGUCUUUGUCUUAUAUAUCACUAUUUCGUGUUCUAAACUCAAAUUUGAUGAGUACGUGACUUAACAUGCCAUUUAUUGUAUACAAAUAACACAUUUAACAUUUUUUUGGGGUGGGGGGGGGGAGGGAAGGGGUGCAGUAUCGUCUCAACAAGUUUGGGGAUCUAAAGCCAAACGCCAUAAAGAGGCUCUAUUUUUUAGUUGGCAAAUAUAGAUUGAAUAAUUAUACCAUACUCAUGUAAUCAUACAAAUGAGGUCUAGAGAGAUACGAUAUAUGCUACACAUUAUGAAGUAAGAAUGCAAACAAUGUAAAUUAUUUUCAAUGAAAAUUAUAUAAUAUAAAGUUUAGAAUAACAAGACAUGACUUAAUUCUUUUAAAAAUAUGGUGAAUUAAAUUAGUGUUGUGAUGAAUUUGAUAAGUAGAUAUAAUAAUAUCAAAAUUGUGUUGAUUAGUUUUGGUGCUUGAAAUUUGAAUAAGACACAAAAAACAAAUUUAUUCUUUUUAUAAACACACAACAAUAGAGAUUUUACAUAAUGUAGAAGGUUUGAGCGUUUGAGAGACUUUAGAAUAUUCAUUAAUGAAAGAAUAAAAAAUAUUGAAUGGAGAAUGAAGAAAAGUAAGUAGAAAACGCAAUACGGUUGGUUCAUGAUAAUCAUGAGAAUAUAAAUGAGCUAGACAACAAAAGAAAUAGCCACAUGCAAAAUUAUAAAAGAUACUACAAUUAACUCGCCACACAAAAAUCUAAAAAAGAUAAUACAAUCAACUAAACAAUCUUUACAAAAAAAAAUCUUUUAAUAUUUAUUAGUACAUGAAAUUUUUUAAGUAUAUUUCUCUAUCUCUCUCUAUAUUUAUGAGAGAAUGAAGUCUCAAAAAAGUUGAAACCAAGCGAUUAUUUUAGUGAUCUUAUGAUCAAAACGGCCAAAAAGCACGUUUAGUUGAGGGACCAAACUCAUAUCAAGUUCAAGUUUAAUAUUGUUUUGCAAGAAAAAUUAAUUAGUAUACGACUAACUUAAAAGAAAAAUUAUAAAUUCAAUUAUUGUGUAUACAUGCAACGCAACCAAAUAUAUAUAUAUAUAUAUAUAAUGUCCAGGGGAAAUGCAUAAUGGGCUUGUAAUAAAUUCAUAUGAUGAUAAUCAAAUGUUAGAACAAUAAUUAGUUUCAACCGGUUAUUAUCGUGGAGAUAUAUUUUUAUUUUUAAUCAGAAAUUUUAAAUUUAAAUUUUCUCAACUCGAAGUUUCAUUUGUUAAGAACUUCUUAAUGCAAAUAUUGAAGUCGGAUGAAAAAUAAAAAAGUAGUAGCAAAUUAAAGCGUGAAGAGGGCCGACGUGGCUGCAAUCCAAAUGGGCGCGAUGUGCAGUGUGACAUGACAUAUUUUUUCUGUUUUGAUUUAUGUAAUAUACUUUUAUUUUUAAUUAAUUUAAACAAGAAAUACAAAUUUUCUUAUCUGACUAAUGUUUAGUGACAUCAAUAUUUUUUAAAAUAGUGAUUCUUACUUAUUUGACAAAAAAAUCAACAAAAUAUACUCUUUUAUUUAAAAUAUUACUUAUUUUCAGGAUAAUUUUAGAACUUAUCAAUUUUAUUUUUGUAUUUCUUAAAUUUCCUAUUUUGUUAAACUUUAUCAAUAAAUUAAAACAAAAUGAAAAUACUACAUUGUUUUAUCCUACAAGAAAAGAAGUUCCAAUUAGGGUGUGUUUAUAAAAUGUAUUUUCUUGAAAAAUAAAUUGAUUUUUUACGUAUAGAUUAUCAAACAAUUUCUCAAAUGAUAAUUUGAAAAAAUCUGAUUAUAUAAAUGCAACAACCUCAACAAGUUUAUUGGUAUAAAUCUGUCACGACUCAAAUCGAGCCAUGAGUGACACCCACAUUUAUCCUCCUAUGUGAGCGAACCAACCAAUCUAACCCUAUCAUUUCAAACAUAAUGAACUAAAUACAUUGCGGAAGACUUAAAAACUCAUUAACAAAAUAAAUCAAAUAACUUCUAAAACUCAAACAUUUAUUAUUAUCCCCAAAAUUUGGAAGUCAUCAUCACAAGAACAUCUAUCCUCAAUUUACUAAAGCUAAGAGUAUCUAGAAAGCUAGAAUAAACAAAAAGCUAGUCCAUGCCGGAACUUCAAGGCAUCGAGACAUGAAGAAGAUCCAGUCCAAGCUAGAAGCGUUAGCUCACCCUGAAAUCCGGUGUAAUGAAGACUGGCUAGAGUUGCGGUUGAGUUGAAGACGAUGGCACAUUUGCUACACUCCACAAAUAACAAGGAAAGAAAAUACAAGUAGGGGUCAGUACAAAACACGGGUACUGAGUAGAUAUCAUCGGCCAACUCAAAAUAGAAAACAAUAUAUAUCAAGUAAUAAUAUAAAAUCAACUACAUUACUCAACAUGUAGCAACAACAAGUACUAUGAUCGUUAAUAAGUACCGCCAAGUUUACACAUGAGGACUCAAGCCUCAAUACCAUACUCAUUUGGGAAUUAGGUUCAUUAGAUUGAGUAUAUUAACAUCUUUCAAGAUUCAUCACCUUUAUUCUUGUGUCGGUACGUGACACUCUGCUCCCCUACUACUAUGUGUCGGAACGUGACACUCCAAUCCCCUAGUUCUACGUGUCAGUUCGUGACACCCGAUCCCCUAAUUCUACGUGUCGGUUCAUGACACCCGAUCCCCUAAUUCUAUGUGUCGGUUCGUGACACCCGAUCCCCUAAUUCUACGUGUCGGUUCGUGACACCCGAUCUACUAAUCUCAUUCUAUUAAUUCAUCAAGCCUUCUUUUAUACCAAGGCAUCAUCAAUCUCAUCAAUCUCAUCACUUUAGUUCAUCAAGCCUUCUUUUAUACCAAGACAUCAUCAUUAACAAGGGGUUUUCAAGAUUUGGGAUUCAAUAGCUUCAUCAUGCUUAUUUCAUCACAAUUAUAUAAUCACAUUCAUGCAAGCAUACAAUUAAGCAUAUAGAAGACUUUACAAUACAACCCAAGACAUAUCAUUCGCUAUUAAGAGUUAACUACGAAUAGUAUAAAAAACAUAACCUACCUCCACCGAAGAUUAGAAAUCAAGCAAGCAAGUUUCCAAAGCUGCGUUCUUCUCUCUCUCGCUCGAUCGUUUCUCCCUCUCUCUCUCUGUUCUUUUUCUUUUUCUUGUUCAAACCCUCUUUCUUUUACCCUAAUUAGCAUAUAAUUAAGAAUAAAAGAUGGCAAUAAUAACCCACUAAUUUACUCAAGGUUACCUCUUUUAACCCCCAAGUAAUUAGACUUAUUAACAUUAACCCACUAACUUUAUACUUAUAGCAGGAAUAACCCAAAACGUCCCUUAAAACAUUUAAAGAAAUCCGACCUCGCCUGGGAUUACGCAGCCUGUGACGGGCCGUCGUGCCUGCGACGGUCCGUCCUGCUACUCCGUCACAGAGUUCAGAGACUGAAAUUUACUGAAGAGUCUGUGACGGCCCGUCAUGCCUGUGACGGUCCGUCCUGCCAUUCCGUUACGAAGUUCAGAGAGUCGAUUUCAGUACCCAUUUUUCAGAAUUUCUAAGUGUUUUGAAACGAGACCCCCUCGACGGUCCGUCGUGCCCAUGAUGGUCCGUCGUGGGUUCCGUUGUCUCAGCCUGUUUUUCCAGAAAUAAAAUCUGCUGCUCAAAACGACUAAACAGGUCGUUACAAAAUCAUCUUAAUAAAUUAUGUGAAGUUUAAUCAGGAGAGUAAAAUGUUUUUCUUUUUGCACUAUUUGUUUCUUAAAUUAAUUUUUUAUCUCAUUAGAUUUUUCUCUUUUAACGUUUUUAACGAUUCAAAGCAAGGUAUAUUACUACACGGUAGAUGUACUUUCUUUUUCUUUUACUAAGUUUUUUGUCAUUAAUUUUUUUAAAGUAAUAUUUUAACAAGACAUAUUAUUUAUUAAUUAACAUAUAUGGACCUUAUACAUAUACUAUUAUAAAUGUUCAUUUAGCCAAAUAUUUUCCUAGAUAAAACUUACAACUACAAAAGUAUUAUACGAGUAGCCCAUCUCACAAGCAAUUUCAUGAAAAGCUAACCUUAAAAGCAAUGCUCGUUUCGAUCAACUUAUUUUAAUUAUUUUUAAGUUAAAAUAAUUUUUAAGUCGUUUUGAAGUAUUCUGGUAAAGUUAAAAAAGUGCUUAUAAAUAUUUAUUUUAAGUUAAAAUAAUAAAAAUAAGUCAAAAGUCAUAAGUUAAAAAUUCUAAAGUAUGAUUUUGGCUUUAUAAGUCAUAAGUCAAAAAUCAAUCCAAACAUGACUCUAAUUUUAAGUGUUUUUAAGUCAAAAUAGCUUUAACUAGUUUUGAAGUAUUUGAAUAAAGUUAAAAAAUACUUAUAAACACUUAUUUUAAAGUUAAAAUAACAAAAUAAACCAAAUAUAAAUUAAAAAUCCUAAUUAAUAAUUUUUAACUUAUAAAUCAUAAGCAAAACGUCAAUCUAAACCGACACUCAAACGACAGCACCAUAACAACUUCUUCUUUUUUCUAUAAAUAAAAAAGUGAAGUCAUUUAGUUAUCAAAAAAAAGUGAAGUGAGUUAACUUGUGCUCUCCUCCGUCAAUAUUAAUUAUUCAUCUUAUGAUAAACAACUAUCCUAAAUUAUCUAGUAAUUUACUAAUCAAAACAAUGAAUUUUUUCUACCAUUAUUAUUUUUAUAAACCUAAACAAGUUUAUGUAAAAGUUUUUCUUUUUCAAAUCUGUGGUUAAAAAGUAAAUUAAUUUACUAAAACUAUUCAUUUUAUUUCUAAUUUUAAAAUAAUGAAAAUUGUAAAAAAAUCCAAAGAGAGAAAACGGAGUUACUCAAACGGCGUACGCAAACCUCCCCGUAACUGCCACGUCCGUGAAAUGACAAAAGUGGGCCCCGCUUUGUUUUCCCAUUAUGUUCUUAUCACCAGAAGCAAGUAACAAUUAGUAAUUAAUUAAUUUAAUUAAGUAAUUAACAAAUAAGUACAUUUAUUUAUACUUCUAAUUAUCCUAUACAUACAGACCCCUUAUAUGUAUAGGCGAGUCUUGUUAAAGCUGUGUAUAUAUAUAUAGAACCAAAAACAUUCAUCUAAUUCAUCAUCCAAUCUACUCUAUUAUUCAAAACCUCUGUUUUCACCUUUUAUUUUUGCUUCUAAAACACAAAGGAUUCUUAGCUUUCUCCUUAUAAAGACUCAAUACUUUGCUUGUGUAUUAGUUCAGAAACGUUCUUGAUACAAAUUUACUAUUUGGGUAUGUUUCUUUUUUUCAUUAUUUUUAAGUUUUAUUCAUGUGAGUCUAGAUAAAGAUAGCCCCUUUUCUGUUUUUUAGAAGAUUUUGAUGAUAAAGUUUGGAUUUUUAUUGUUGAGAAUGGAUUAAAAAGUUCAGAUCUCUAUGUUUUGAUGUAGUCUGUUCUUGAAGUAUCUUGUUUCUGCAUUUUUGUUAAUGGGGUUUGUAGUUUUUCUUAUCUUUGUUGUUUGUGUGGUGGUGGGGUUGGGGGUUGAUUGUUGUGUGUGGUCUUUCUUAUAUGGACUUGAGCAAUGCUGUGAUUGAGCUAGUUUUUGUGAUUGAGUUAGUCUUAGGUGUCGUAUCUUUACGGGUUCCAUCGUACUUUAUUGGGAUUGGUAAAUUCUUGAAGAUAUUAGUAAAAGUUAUAGGGAAUGAUAAGAUUGGUUAUGUAGGACUAAUGAAGAUUAUAGUUUCUUAUCAUCAACCUGUAAAAGUGGCUGGUUUUGGAUAGUUUAACUCUCUUUUGAAGUUGUAGGGACAAAAGGUUUUUCCUUUCUGGUUUGGGUAGCAAGGACUAAAAAGUCACCAGAAUACUGUUUCUAUCAUGAUCUUGAUUAUCUUUCUUCAAGUCUGCAGCUCAGGGGUUUUUUCUUGAAAAUUACCUAAAACAUAUGCUUUUGACUAUUCAACUGUGUCGCCGCAUCCGUUUCAGAUCCUUAGAAGUAAAUUACUUUUGGAGGAUCCGACAAAUCAUCGAACUAGUCUCUCUUAUACUUCUUGUAAGUUGUGGAUCCUCAAUUGAUCCAACUUUUGGGAUCCUUGCAUAGGAGGCAGGGCACUUACUAUUGGAAUUGUUGAAGGAGAGAUUGAAAAAUCAGAUAGGCCUUACAAUUGAGAUUUUUGAAGGAGAGACGAAAAUCGAUUACGAGAACUUGAUUGUUAUAAUGAAAUGUGGUUAUAAAGAGGUCUAACUGUAGUUUUCAUUUCCGAUAGCAUAGAUCAGGUUAACCUUAUAUUGGGUAUCUUUGGAUAACAAAAGAUAUAUUUUUUAUGACUCAAUUCUGUGGUUUUCCAUAGUUAAUGCUGUACCACUUUGCUCUCAUGACUUAUUGGUGUACUUACUUUGAUAUUGAAGCCUUAUCUUAAGGUGGUUUACCUAUUAAAUAUGAAUUGACUUGUGAGUUGGAUAGGAUGAUCAGAGACACAUAUUUUUAUUAAAUGCCUUAGGUUUAUCCAUUUAUUUACUAUCUAGGCAUCAAUAAUUCAUAUAGUUGUUCUUAUCCUUGGAGAAACUGAUUUGUACUUUGUAUAACGUUAGAUUUUUGUGAUAGCUGUUGGAUAUUGGCUUUUGGGAAAAACCAAUAGGUAGUUUCUCUUUGUACUCAACUUGUGCCUACAUUUCAUUGACCUUGUUUUUUUUCUUCAUCUAAAACUAGAUCCAAAUAAUGGGGCAUUCUCUUGUAAUUGAUUAGACGUUUAGCAUUGCAUGGCGUCUUUUGUUUUAUCGUUGCUUCUUUGAGUGUAGUGUACCAUGAGGAGAAGAUCAAUAACAUUUCCUUAAGGUUCACAUGUUCAAUGUUUAUCGUAGUUCUGUAUAGUGUUUAUGAAUUUCAAGUCUUUGUUCUUUUGGUUCUGAGAUCCUUGAAUUUGUAUUUUUACAGGCAUUAGAAGCCAACUUUGUUACAUCAACAAGCAGGAUAUGGCCUUAGAACAGCUGGACACUACCUUUAACAAACACGAUACUCCAUUAGGGAAAUGGAAGACAAUGAACGAUGAAGUUGAAGAGAAUAUUUCUGGUGGUUUUGAAUGUAACAUAUGCCUGGAUCUCGUCCACGACCCUGUGGUAACUUUAUGUGGUCACCUCUACUGUUGGCCUUGCAUCUACAAAUGGAUUCAUUUCCAGAGUGUUCCCUCAGAAAAUUUGGAUCAGCAGCAACCACAGUGCCCUGUAUGCAAGGCUGAAGUUUCAGAAAGAACUUUGAUUCCACUCUAUGGACGCGGUGGUCAAUCUACCAAACCAUCUGAAGGAAAGGCUCCGAAUCUUGGUAUAGUGAUCCCACAAAGACCUCCUAGUCCAAGAUGCGGCGGUCACUUACUGAUACCAACUACCGAUUCAAGUCCAUCCCAUCUACUUCAACGACGAAAUGAUCAACAACAGUCUCAAACACGUCAAUCGCCUUAUCAACCACAAAGCGCCUCACCAGGCACCACAGUUAAUAUGUUACAACCCUCCAUGAUUGGACAAGUGGCCUAUGCAAGAAUCUUUGGUAAUUCAUCAACAACUCUGUAUGCAUACCCAAACUCUUACAAUCUAGCCAUCAGCAGUAGUCCAAGAAUGAGAAGGCAAUUAUCACAGGCUGAUAGAUCACUUGGGAGAAUAUGUUUUUUCCUAUUUUGUUGCUUUGUGACAUGUCUAAUCUUGUUUUGAACACUUUGUCUGUUGCUUCUACUUUGUAAAAAAGAAGAUAUGAUGUUGUAGUAGAUAAGAAAAUGUACAGCCUCAGCUAAAUGUGUAAAAAAAUCAUAGAAGCAUUUGCUUUCUUUGAUUGUUGAUAAAACACACUUGGAAUUUGAGUGCUUGAAGAUUUGAACCCUUUUUUGAUGUAUUAAUCUAAGAAAUGAGGUUGGUAAUUCUAUCCAUUAUUGUGCAUAGAGAUGAGUUUUACUACUAAUUCUUGCGUAAUUAAUUUUUACGAUAUUAAUCUUUGUACCAAACGAUUCUUUAGUGUGUUUGGCGGGACGAUAACAUUUUCCAAAAAUAUAUAUUUCAAUUUUCAUGGUUCGAGAAAUAUUAUCUUUAAAGCAAGACUUUUAGCUUAAUGUAACGAUAAAUAUAAUAAGAAGAUACAAAAUUAAGUAACAAUCAAGAUAAACAUUAUAUUUAAUGAGCGAUGAUAAGUUAUGAAAUGAUACAUAACAACAUUAAUUACAUUAAUGAAAUUUGUUUUUCCUUUGAAUAAGAGAAGUUAUUUUCUUGAUUUUUACAUGUUCUACUUUUAAUUUCCCAUCCUGUUGUAUUAAUUUACUAUGUAUAAAUGUUAAUGUACUAUAUUUUACUUAACUUUCCAAACACUCGAAAUACAUUAUAUAUAUAAAAAAAGAUAUGUUAUUUUUUUUAUGAUCCUACCAAACACACCCUAAAAGGAGGCUAAUUUUGUGUACCUUAUUUUUUCUUAUCAAGAAACAAGAUAACCAAAAUUGAAUUGGUAUAUUUUCUCUGUCAACUUAUUAGUUGGUGGACCUUAUUUAAUUCCUUUUUUUUUUUAAAAAAAAAGACCAAUUCUGAUUGGUUCUUUUCUUAUUCUUUCUUUAGAAUAUAAUAUUAUUAUUAUUAUUUUAUUAGAAUAAAAGUGGUGUAUCAAGUUAUUCCACAUAGCAAAGUUACUAGCUUUCACAUUGUAAUGGACAUUUUUAAUAUUAUUUUCGUGAUAACGAUCUUCAGAUAAAUCGUAUAUUUUUCGAUUAAUUUAAAAUAGUUAAUAUUUUUUUUAUCAAUAUAUGUGUAUUGAAAAACGCAACUCACUAAUAUUUAAAUUAAAAAAUAAAUCAAAUAUCUUUUUUUGAUCUAUUGAAUUUAAAUUUUGAAUUUCUAUAAUUUAAAUUCUUAAAUUUAUAUGAUAUGAUUAAUUCAUCAAAUGGGCAUUUGAUUAUAAACCUGUCACAAUCAAGGCAUCAACAUCAGAAAGCGAAAUUAUAUUCCUCUCAUUUGCUCGUUCUUAUCAAUACAGAAUCAUUUGUUUGAUUCAAAAUCAAGUUAUUCGAAAAUUAUAAUAAUUUUAAUAAAUAUUAUUACUAGCAUAUAUAAUAAUAACCAAUAUUUUGAAAUUAAAUAUAUUAUGAAAAUCCUUCAUAUAUGAUAUACAUCUUCUAUAACAUUAUUCAUUUUUUCUAAAAUAUUUAAACCUUUUAUCUAAAGAAAAUCCUAAAACUUCGUCAAACUAAUAAGUAUGUUUAAGAUAAUUCUAAAACAGAAGGAUUAAUAAAAAAAAAAAAAAGAUAAUUGUUUAGAUAAUAACUUAAUAAUAAAUUAAUAAAGUUUACAAAUAUCCUACAUUAUUAAAAUACAGAAAAGUUAUUAAGUACUAAUAUCCAACAUUUUCACUUUUAUCACAUUUAUAAUACAUAUUAUCUAAAAUAAUUUAUAAAACAAUAUAAUACAAAUUUUAUUGAUAAAUAAUAUAUUCAUCGCACAUCUUAAUAUAACAUGUCAAAUUUCUUAACAAAUAAGUAUAAUAUAUUUUAAAACAAUUAUAAUACAUAUACAUAUACAUAUAUAUAUAUAUAUAUAUAUAUAUAUAUAUAUAUAUAUAUAUAUAUAUAUAUAUAUUUGCAUACAUAAUUCUUUUUCAGUAGAUUUAUGAUAAUAUUUCUAUAAAUAGUAAUAAUAAAAAAUAUGCUAAAAUCAGUAAUUAUUUAUUAAAAGAUAAUUAUCUAAAUAACUUCUCCAUAAAUAUUUAAUCCUUCUUGUUUUUUGUUCUCACCCCAUGUCAGAUAUCUAUAUUGAAACUCAACUAAAUUCGAAUUUAUAUCUCAAAAUUUCACAUCAACAGAUAAAAUAUUUUUUAACAAAAGCGACUCUGUAGAGUCUCGAGAAAUAAGGAUCCAUCCUUAUUAGGAAAUGGCCACUUAUUAUUAUUUAAAGGUGACACCAUUUCGUGCGUGGUGGGCGCCGGCGGCAACGGUAAGCAGCCAUGCUGACGGCGUCUGUGCACAGUGAUGGAGAUAAUAUAUAUUUAUUUUUUUUAAUUUUUAGUGAUUCACAAUUUACAGCUCAGCCAAAAGAAAUGUCCAAAAGAAUCCCAUACCUAAAUCACAAUUUUCACUUGAUUGUGUUUUUUUUUUUUUUUUGGUUUCUUAUACUUUGUUCCAACUUGCUUUUUGUACUCAUUUUUCUUGCAAUUAUAAGCAAUGAUGCUCAUUUCUGUCCAUAUGCAACUAUCCCAGUCUAAUCACAGUCGUUCGUUAUACUAAAAAUAUUUAUUUAAUAAUAUUUCUUCAAUUUAAAAAAAAAUUACUUUUUGUGUCUGAGUAAAAAUAUCUUAAAAGAUUAUUCAAGUAUGUGAAAUUGUUUCAAAAAGUCAUUCAACUUUGUUUUAUAUUAAUAAAGUCAUUCAACUUAUCAAUUUUCUUUUAUAAAAUCACUCAACUUGAACUAUUUUUCUGAAAAAUAGUUAUAACCAAAAAAUAAAUAGAUAAUUACACAAACCACCCUUAAAGUUUAGUUUUGCAAUACUUAUUUUAAUUGUAGUUUAAUAAUAUUAUACUUUAACUCUUAUUUUAUUUAUUACUUCAACAAAUAUUUUUUUACCUAAUUAUUAUUAACAUAAGAAUUUAUGAUUUAAUUAAAUUUCUAUUUCAUCCAUUUAUUUAAUUUUUUAUGAAUAAUAUAAUUUCUUCCUUCCAUUAAUAUAUACUUGUCAAUUAUUUGUAUAUGAUUACAUAUGUGCAUCCAUAAUGAUUGAAUGGAUAAAUUUGAUGCUGAAUUCGGCUUCAUUAAGUUGAUUUAUACACUCUUUUCAUAACCUAUGCAUUUCGUUUAAGUAUUCUUUAACUUUUUUUACUUAAGAAACUGCAUGUAUGUUGAUCAAUUUAAUAAAUGUGUGAUAAAUAAAAAUUUAAUCAAAUCAUAAAUUUUUAUGUUAAUAAUAAUUAUUAGGUUAAGAAAAUAUUUGUUAAAGAAAAUAAAAUAAGAGAGUUUAACGUAAUAUUAUAAACUAUAAUGAAAAUAAAUAUUACAAAACUAAACUUGAAGGGUGGUUGUGUAAUUAAUUUUUUUAUUUUUUGGUUAUAAUGAUUUCCUAGAAGAAUAGUACAAAGUCGAGUGACUUGAUUGAUACAAAACAAAGUUGAGUGACUAUUUGAAAUAAUUUCAGAUACUUUUUCUUUUAAGUUAUUUACUCCUAUUUUAUUCUUACUAUUAAAUAUUCCAUUAUUUGUCAUCUAACAUAUUUUUCAAAGCAUUAUUAAUAUAGUAGCAAUACUUUAUUAUUUAUUAUUUCUUAAGGGGUGUAUCAAGUCAAUAGUGUACAUCUAUUAUUGAACACAAGGAGUAUAUUUUUUUGUUUCAAUAUAUGUAAUGGUAUUUAAUUGAACACGAAAUAUAAGAAGGAAAUUUUUUAAUUUUUUUAAUAAUUUAAUUACUCACUAUUAAGAACAAAAUAGGGAGAAAAUAAUUAAACUUAUCUUGAACUUUUAUAAUGGAUUAAUGAGAAACCAUUAAUGGACAUAAUUUAAACCAAAAUUUCUGCUAUUGCCCUUUGUAAAAUUAUAAAUAAUUUUGCAAGUAGUGCAAUUUAUUAUCUCCUAGUAAAUAAAACUGCAAUAAAUGAAAGUAUAAAUAUGAAAAAAAAAUCAUCUUAAACUUUAUACAAUUAAAUUAUUUAGAACAAUAAAAAAAUCUAAAAGAAUCACUUAAUAUGAAACAGAGGAGUAUAUGGGAAAAUAUAUAAAGAAUUUACAUAUUGAACCCAUUUAAUUUUGAAUUUAAAAUUUCGUCUCUAAUUAUUUCCUUGAGUUAAUGGCUAAUAAUUGCUCUUACAAUACAUUUUAUCUUUAUAGAUUUGUCCCCUAAAGAUCUUCAGCUACACCAUAUCUCAUAACUAAGCAGAAAAAAGAAGACAACAAAGAGAUAAUAUAUAUUAUUAUAUCUCUGCAGAAAAUUAAUUUAUUUUAUUUAUAUUGCAUAGAAAUGAAAGAAAGAAAUUAUCAUUCCCCUUUUUCUGGUGUCACUUGUCAACCAAAAAAAAAAAAAAAGUUACAGCUUGUAAAAGUAACGAAGGGAACUUGUAAAAAGAACCACUUUCGCGGAGUUUCAAAUUCUAUAAGUGAAAGAAGUUUUACCUGUGAAAAUUUGAACUCCAUGAAUCAUGACACUGCCUAUUUUUCGAAAAAUAGAACCGAGAAGUGAUCACUGAACGCUACUUCUACCUGCCAAGUCUGCAACUAUAGAACAGAGGCAGAGAUCAUUCUUUUAGAAGCAGCAAUUGAAAAACCCAACUAAUAAAAGGCAGUAGAAAGUUUUGAUUAGUGAUCAUGAUAAAAAUUUAGAGAAUCGUAUAAUCCGGCAUCCAGUGUCAACAAGUCUCCUCAAGGUCUGUUUCAUUAAGUGCCUCGGACUUGCGAUUUCCAAUUUCAAUAUACUUAUCUAAACCCCCCUCAAAUUCUUUCGAGCAGAGACCUCGCACCCUAAGUAAAUCUUUAAGCUCUUCUUCACCUUGAGUAUCUCCUUUUGAUUGCAAGUACUUCACACAGGAAGCCAAACUGUGGAAGUGUGGCUUCCACCCUGGCUUACUAGCCAAGAUUGCUUUCUUCAUCGUCUCCACUGCCUUGUCCAUGUCAUUUUGUACACAAUAACCAAGUGCCAGACGAUUCCAUGAGCUCCCAUUGGGAUGCUUCCCACUUGCCUCGAGUUGCCCUAUGAGUGAUAUUGCUUUUUCCAUAUGACCCUUCUUGCAGUAAGCACUUAUGAGCAAGUUUGGAAUUCGAAUGUCAAAGUGUACCCUGUUUGUUUCCCACUCAGCAAAUAUCUUCUCCGCACCGUCAAGAUCAUCCAACUUUUCUAGUCCACGUAUCAUACAAUGAUAACUUGAAUUGUGACGCUUAACUUUUUGCUUGUAUUUAUUCCAUAUACGAUAGACAUCAUCUUUGUUUCCCAUACUAGUAUAGAGAGUAAUUAGCAUGUCAAUACCAAGCUUUUCUCUUUUCCCCUUGAGUCUAUACUCACAUUUCUUCAAUGACUCAUUAGCCUUUUCUAUAUCACCAGCUUUCAAGUAUCCCUUGGCAACAACUGUGUAAGGAUUCCAAUUGAUCAGCAGAGGAUCAGCUUCCAUCUUCAUCAGAACCUUCUCCAUCUCCCUAACAUCGGGAACAGAUGCAUAAGCAUUUAAGAGGAUACUAUAGGAAAUCAUAUCACCAGAAACUCCCUUGUCUUCCAUCUCUAACAUAAGUGACUGUAGCUUCUCAAGAUAUCCCAAUUUAGCAUAAAGGGUCAUCAUAACAUUGUAUGCUACUGUGCCAGCAUAGGCCAACUCCUUCAACUUUUGCAUGGUAUCUUCUGCUUUUUUUAUGACCAUUGCAUUAGCAUAACAGUUCAAGAGAGCACCAUAUACCUGGUAGGUUCUUAAAUCAUCUGGAAUGCUAGUGAAAUAUGUCUCUGCGGCUUCCAGACCAUGGGCUUUUGAUACUAAAUCCAGUUCGACUGCAAAAUCUCUAGGCGAUAUAUCAAAAUCUUUGGACUUCUUAAUCCACUCAAAAACCUGUGAUUGUAUAAGAAGCAGAAAUUGCUAUUUUGUAAACUGAACCAAUACAUAAGUUAGGAAAAGAAAAGUUAAGCACGCAACCUAGUCUUUUUUCCUUGGUUCCCCAAAGGCUAGUAUUUUGAACGAAAAUAUGACUGAUUAAUACGAACUUCAUGAUGUGGACGAAUUUAUGGAUCGCGCUUGUUAAAUCAACAUUAAACUGAUUCAGUUGAAAAUAUUUGUGGAACAUGCAAGUUUACAAGGUAUCUCUUACAAAGUCGAGUUGUACAGAGGAAUUAAUCAGAAACAGUGUUACCAAAAUCGCUUAAAGCAAGGCUCAAAACAUGUUGAGCGCUUCGCCUCGCUUAAUGUGCGCUUCAGUGUAGUCAUCAAAGUUCUAAGACAAACUUAUCCACAUAAAUGAGCAUCUCUGAAGAGGUGACACUAAACAAUUCAUGUUUGUUACUAGUCUUUAAUUAAACAUGUACAUUUUGUAUUUUUCUCAUUGUGCCUUUUUUACAUUGAAGUCCACACUUUAUUUGAACUUCGCGCUUAAGCCCUAACGAAAAACAAAGGUCAUGUUGGAUGAAGGAUAAUAAUUUGGUUCAUGUAUAGUUUAAAGAUUCACUUCAGGACCUGGUUGACUAAUCAAAUGAAGCUCUUGUUUCUAUGGGAAGAAUAAUAAGAGAAAAAGCAGGUAAGGAGAGGACUGUUUUAGGAAUAGUUAUCAAAGGUGCGCUUAAGGCCUGAAGCGAGGCUCGAAACGUGUUGAGGGCUUCGCCUUGCUUCAUGUGCGCUUCAGUGUUGUCAUCAAGGUUAUAAGGCAAACAUUUCCUUGCCAAUGAGCCUCUUGUGAAGAAGUGAAACUAAAUAAUUGAUAUUUCAUUUUAUCAUAAACUUUUUUCAUUUUCUUUGGUCAUAUAUUUGUCAUCCAUGUUUAUAAUUAUUAGUCUUGGACUAAACAUAUAUAUUUGUGUUCUCUUCUCCCUUUGCGCCUUUUUUCAUCAAAGCCCACGUGAAGUCCCCAUAGACCUAGAGUGUUUUUGCGCUUUUUUCCUUUGAUAACACUUUUUAGGAACGACUCUUAGAAUACUCAAAAGUCCAAAACCAGACAAGCCCAAAAACUCUACAAGAGCUAAUCACACUUCUUAGCUUAAAACUUUCGAAUUGAUUACAAUGUGUUUGUAUUUAUUCGAACAAAGAAAAUAUUUGCAAUAUAUAGUUUUAACAGAAAUAGAAAUUGCAUAGACUGAUAGAUAGUUCUUCGGCUAAAGUGCUUCUAAGAAUGUAGAUCGCUCUAAUCUUAGGCGUUAAUCUUAAUUCCUCACUAUAACAAAUUUAUUAGCAAAUUACAUAUGAAAGCAACACUUUCCCACCCCACCCGCCCCUCCUAAAUUUAUAUCCUCAAAGAGAAGGGACUAAAAGGAGUCUUAGAACUCUAGGCAUCAUCCUAAAGAAAGGUAAACAAGAGAAGUCUUUAAAUCCCUAUCACAUCCAAUUAAUGGCCAAACAGAGUAACAUUAACAAAUUAAUGGUUAAGCAAAUUGUUGCAGUACAAAAAACUUAAACUAAGUAAGAUCCACUUUGAAGCAUCUUCAGUCUUAAGCCUGGUAUUAAGGAAUAAGGCUGAUGAAGGUUGACAAACAACAUGAUGAUAGUCAAACUAUUCUAUGGAUUCAUGGAUAUUUUGCGAUUGAAGCUAAUUGAUAAAUAUUGCAGUCCAACACGGGUUAACCAGAACAUUCACUUGUAAUGCUGAAUCGUAAAUAAGGAUGGUUCAGUCCAUAUACCAUCCCUCCCAUUACCAUAAUAGGAUAUGCGAUUAUCCUUAGUGCUUUUUGUGCUGAAGAGACUAAACAAAACUUAGCCUCUUAAAAUAAUGAGGAAUUUGUACAUGAAGCUGAAGCAAUACGUAGCCUCUUUGAAUCCCUAAAAGAUUAAAAGGGAUUCCUUAUUGGAUGUGUGGCAUACUAGAAAAAAUAAGAUUAGAAAUGAAGAUAUUCGGAACUGGGUCUGAGUGGCCUCUGUGGAAGACAAGAUACGUGAGGCAAAACUGAGAUGAUUUAGCCAUGUGAAGAGAUACACGAAUGCCUAGUGUGGAGGUAUGAGGUAUUGAUAGAGGUUGGACAAAGAAACUAAUGGAGAGGUGAUUGUGAAAAGGUGAUAGAGAGGACAUGACACAACUUCAACUUAUCAAACACAUGAUCUUGGAUAGGAGCUUAUGGAAGAUACCAAUUAGGGUCAAUGGUCAAUAAGUAGUUGAGUGUUGUCUCACUUAUCUUUCCAUAUUCAUAGUCGUACUAUUAUUCUUGUAGUUUCUAAUUCUACGUUGCUCGGACUCUUCAAAAAUGCCAACGGGUGCUUGUUGAAUUCGCCAAAAGUAGUGUAUUUUUGGAGAAUCCGAGAGGGGUGCGGCAUGAAAAGUAGAGAGUCCGCGCAACUAAGAGUUUCUUGUUUCUUCGACUUCUAUCACACUUAUUCUUUCUUGUACUUCGAUUCUCGUAUUUUUUCAUUAUUUUAAUGCCUUGUUUACUUCUUUUCCUGAGCUGAGCAUCUAUUAGAAACAACCACUCUAGGUCAAGGUAAGGUCUACAUACACACUAUCCUCCCCACAAGCCACUUGCGGCGUUCUCCUUCUAUGAGUUCUACCACCAUAUGAACUUCAACAACAGACCAAAUUCAAAAACUCCCCCACCCCCACCCCCAAAAUGAAGUUCGUUUCAAUUAGUAUGAUUUUCGCAAAUCAAUUAUGUAAAGGAAAUAAUCCAAAUUGCAGAAGUAAAAAGCAAUACAAAAGACAGACCUGAAGGGCAUGAUUGUAGCGACGGUAAGCUCGAAACUGUCUGACGAUGAUCUGUAGGUCUUCAUACUUAAUGGGAUUUUGCUCAGUAACCCAUUUGUCGAGUACAGAUAUGACGGAGUCCUUAGAGCGCGUCAAAUAGAGUAGCCUACUGUUCAGAGCAUUCUUUGGAGACGCUUGUUCAUCUUUAUCAGGCAAAAAUAAGGAGGCUAGGGUUUCAGUAUUUGUAGAAUAUGAAGAAGAAGAAACCCUUAAAAAACAAGUACUGAAUUUCCACCAUGACUGUUGGACAAGUUUCACCAUUCUUACCAGAAAUGCAGAGUAUGCCUCACUGUUUCACAACACUCUUGUAACCCUUCUUGCAAUAAAAAAAAAUAUUAUUUUAGUUUCACUUGUUAAAAAGGCCAUUUGUUAUACUUAUGAUUUAAAACAAAUGAUGGAUAUUUAUUUAUUGUGAUUAUAAAUUAUUUUUAAAUUUAAAUUAUUAUUUCAUAUAAAAAAUGUGUCAUUCGUUUUUAACAAGAAAUUGAGUAGUAUAAAUUGAAACAAAGAGAUAAGUAAUUUGUUUAAGUAAGUGUAUUUUUAAUUUAUUGGACAACUUUUACGUAUAGCAAACAUACAAUUCAUAUCUGUAUGCUAUAGCAAAGUUUGAAUAAUUGCACUUCAUAUCAAACAUAUAAAUGUAUAAUUCGUUAUGUAUAUACAAUUGAAGCGAAUUGUAUAAACGAAGUGUAUAAAACGAGAAAGAGAAAGAAACUUAGGGCAGAAAAUUGUAUAAAACGAAGUGCAUUAAGCAAAUUGUAUGAUUAUAAGUGUAUAGAAUGAUGAUAUACAAUUUGAAUUUGUAUAAAAUGAGAAAGAGAGAAAGACAAAAGAGACUUGGGCAGUAAAUAUAUAAUUGAAUCGAAUUAUAUAAAACGAGAAAGAGAGAAAUUAUAUACAAUUUGAAUUUGUAUAAAACGAAAAAAAGAAAAAGCCAAAAGCAACUGGGCAGAGAAGUAUUUUUAUUGUAUAAUUAUAAAUGUAUAGGACGAAAAUAUAUGUAUUUGCAUGUGUAUAUACAAUUUUUUCUCGCUCUAUACAAACAGAAAUGCAAUUUAUACAUUUCGUUUCUGUUUGUAUAAGCGAGUGAGGCGAGCGAGACUAAGGAGAGUGACGAGCGAGAUCUGAGAGAGGGGAACAAAAAGAUAUAUAUUUAUACAAUUUUCUCUCACUUUAUACAAAUAAAAACAAAUUUAAUACACUUGUGUUUGUAUAAAAAUGAGAGGAAGCGAGCAAGAGAGGAGAGUGGCGAGCGAGAAUUUGAGGGAUAGAAGUGACUGAUAAACAGUUGCUACCGAACACAAUUAAAUCAAAGAGUGAUUAUAACAAUUAAUUUAGUUUAUUGAUUUGCCAUUAUAUACAAUUUUCGCUUAUUUAUUUGGUUGAUUUUUAUUUUCUUAGAAAAUGUUUUUUUUAAAUGUUUUGAUCAAUUAAAUAUUUGAAGCAUUUUCUCAAUUAAAUACUUAAAACUUAAAAGUGUUGGCUGUCAAUUUUGCCGAGUGAGUUUUAGUUGUCUAUGUUUUGAGUGGCAAUAAAAAUAAGUCAUAAAUAUUUACUUGUUUAUAAUUUAUCUUACUAGGGAUAACAAAAAAAUUAAAUUAAAUUGUUCGUCUCAAAAUAGUUAUGGUAUUUUUAAUUUUUAUGUGUUCUUUAGAAAACAUUAAUUAGGAGGGGUGUUUGAUUAUUAUUACUCCAUUCGUCUGAAAUUGUUUGUUAUGUUUGAUUAAUUUUUAAAGGUAAAUUAGAUUAUAUUAAUUCGAUAUUUUAAACAAAAAAAAUAAAUAUUUUGUAACUAUAUGAAAAGUACUAUAAAUUACAAUUUUAUACAUAUUAAUACAAUGAAAAAAUACAUCUUAAAAUAUUAAUCAAAAUUUUUAUAAUUUAACUCUAAAUAUAAAAAUUAUAACAAAUAAUAUCGAAGGGAAGGAGUACCAGGAGUAAUCUCUAUUCAUAAUUUCAUACUCUAUUUAUGUGCCAUGAUUGAAGUAUUUACUUACUUCAUUUCUAUUAUAAGUCACCAUUUUAAAAUAUCAUUUUAAAUUUUACGUUUUUAAAAAAAAUAAAGUAAGUUUAUCAUUAUAUCUUAUUUUGUGAUUUUUUAAAGUUAAAUUUUCAAUAAAUAAAUAUAAAUUUAUUUAUUUAUUAUUGACUUAAUUGACUCUUGAUCAUUGAUAAAUAAUUAUUUUUUAUAGAUUGGUCAAAUUGAUAUUUUCAAUGUCAAUAGCUCUCAAUUAUAAAAUAAGAAGAAUAAUAUCAUUUAUGAUUUAUAAAAUGAUGAUAAGAACCACAUAUAUAUAGGAACAGAGGAAUAGUCAAAGUCUGCAACUAUACAACAGAGCCAGAGAUCAUUCUUUUAGAUUCAGCAAUUGAAAGGCAGUAGAAAAUUUUGAUUAGUGAUCAUGACAAAAAUUUAGAAAAAUCAUAUAAUCCACUAUCCAGUGACAUAGUUUUUUCUUACUAUUGUCAACAAAUCUCCUCAUUGUCUGUUUCAUUAAGAGCCUCAGACUUGCGAUAUCCGAUUUCAAUAUACUUAUCUAAACUCCUCUCGAAUUCUUUCGAGCAGAGACCUCGUACUCUAAGUAAAUCUUUAAGCUCUUCUUCUCCUUGAGUAUCUCCUUUUGAUUGCAAAUACUUAACACAGAAAGCCAGACUCUGAAAGUGAGGCUUCCACCCUGGCUGACUAGCCAAGAUUGCUUUCUUCAUCGUAUCCACUGCCUUGUCCAUGUCAUUUUGUACACAAUAACCGAGUGCUAGACGAUUCCAUGUGCUCCCAUUGGCAUACUUCCCACUCUCCUCGAGUUGCUCUAUGAUUGAUAUAGCCUUUUCCAUAUGACCCUUCUUGCAGUAAGCACUUAUGAGCAAGUUUGGAAUUCGAAUGUCAAAAUGUACCCUGUUUGUUUCCCACUCAGCAAAGAUCUCCUCUGCUCCAUCAAGAUCAUCCAACUUUUCCAGUCCACGUAUCAUACAAUGAUAACUUGAAUUGUGACGCUUAACUUUUUGCUUGUAUUUAUUCCAUAUACGAUGGACAUCAUCUUUGUUUCCCAUACUAGUAUAGAGAGUAAUGAGCAUGUCAAUACCAAGCUUUUCCCUUUUCCCCAUGAGUCUAUGCUCGCAUUUCGUCAAUGACUCGUUAGCCUUUUCUCUAUUACCAGCUUUCAGGUACCCCUUUGCAGCAAUUGCGUAAGAACUCCAAUCAAUCAGCAGAGGAUCAGCUUCCAAUUUCAUCAGAACCUUCUCCAUCUCCGAAACAUUGGGAAUAGAUGCAUAUACAUUUAACAGGAUAUUGUAGGAAACCAAAUCACCAAAAAUUCCAUUGUCUUCCAUCUCUAGCACAAGUGAUUGUAGCUUCUCAAGAUAUCCCAAUUUAGCAUAAAGGGUCGUCAUAACAUUGUACGCCAGUGUGCCAGCAUGGCCCAACUCCUUCAGCUUUUGCAUGGUAUCUUCUGCUUUUUUAAAGACAUUUGCAUCAGCAUAGCAAUUCAAGAGAGCACCAUAUACCUGGUAGGUUCUUGAAUCAUCUGGAAUGCUAGUGAAAUAUGUCUCUGCAGCUUCCAGACCAUGGGCUUUUGAUACUAAAUCCAGUUAGACUGCAAAAUCUCUAGGCGAUAUAUCAAAAUUCUUGGACUUCUUCAUCCACUCAAAAAUCUGUGAUUGUAUAAGAAGCAGAAAUUGCUAUUUUGUAAACUUAACCAAUACAUAAGUGAGGAAAGAAAAGUAAGUACGCAACCUUGUCUUUUUUCCUUGGUUCCACAAAGGCUAGUAUCACAAACAAAAAUAUGACUGAUUAAUACGAACUUCAUGAUGUGGACGAAUUUAUGAAUUGCUCUUGUUAAAUCAACAUUAAACUGAUUCAGUUGAAAAUAUUUGUAGAACAUAUAAGUUUACAAGGUAUCUGUUACAAAGUCGAGUUGUAAAGAGGAAUUAAUCAGAAAUAGUGUUAGCAAAGGCAUACUUAAGCCCUAAAGUAAGGCUUGAAACAUCUUAAUGUGCUUUAGUAUUGUCAUCAACGCUCCAAGACAAACUUAUCCAGACAAAUGAGUGUUUCCUGAAGAGGUGACACUAAGCAAUUGAUGUUUCACUAAACAAUUCAUGCUUAUUAUUAUUAAUCUUGGACUAAGCAUGUAUAUCUGUAUUAUUUCUCCAUUGCACCUUUUUACAUUAAAGCCCACGUUUUAUUUGAGCUUACCACAAGGCUCAAAACAUAUGGAGGAUAAUAAUCUGGUUCAUGUAUAGUCUUUUUUGUGCUGAAGAGGCUGAAGGAAUACUUAGCCUCUUAAAAUAAUGAGGAAUAUGUACAUGAACCUGAAACAAUACUUAGUGUCUUCAAAUUCCUAAAAGAUUAAAAGGGAUUUCAUAAUGGAUGUGCAUACUAGAAAAGAUAAGGUCGGGAGUGGCAGUAGGCGAGACUGAGAUAUUUUGGACAUGUGAAGAGGACAUACAUGGAUGUCCCAAUGUGGAGAGGUAUGAGAGGUUGACUAUGGAUGGUGUCAGGAGAUAUAGAGGUAGACCAUAAAAGCUUAUGGAGAUGUGAUUGUGGUGAGGCGAUUAGACAGAACAUGUUGCAGCUUCAACUUAUGGAUGAUAUGAAUUAGGGUAGACUGUUAGUACAUAGUUGAGUGUUGUCUCAAUCCGUCCAUACUAGUAGUCGUAGUAUUAGACUUUCUAGUUUCUUCUUUAUUCGACUUCUGUUAUUAUUAUUUAUCAUUCCUUGUACUAUGACUAUCAUAUAACUUCACUCCAAAUAUUUUCUUGAGCUCAGAGCUUAUCAAAAACAGUCUCUCUAAUUCGAGUUAAGGUCAACCUACACACUAAGCCACUUAUGGGAAAUGAGAUUAUUCUCCAUUUCCCUAUUAACAUUCUCCCUCAAUACCAGAAAACAGACCAGAUCAAUUAAUUCAGUUUUAGCAAACCAACCAUGGAAAUUAUCUAAAGGAAAUAAUCAAAAUUGCAGAGGUAAAAAAGAAAGAAACCUGAAGGGCCUGCUUGUAUCGACUGUAAGAUCUAAGUUGUUUGAUGAUACUCAGUAGUUCUUCAUACUUAAUGGGAUUUUGUUCAGUAUCCCAUUUCUCCAGUACUGAUAUGACGGAUUCCUUAGAGCGAUUCAAAUAGAGUAGCCUAUUGUACAGAGCAUCCGAGGUUAACGGUUUACAAAUUUGUUCAUCUUUAUUAGUCAAAUCUAAGGAGGCUAUAGUUUCAGCUAUUGUAGAAUAUGAAGAAGAAGAAACCCUAACAAAACAAGUUCUCAAUUUCCACCAUGAUUGUUGAACAAGUUUCACCAUUCUUACCAGAAAUGCAGAGCAUAUGUCUCACUAUUUCACUCUUCAUUUUAACCCUUGUGCCAAUAAAAAUUGUCUCACAGGCAAAUUGGAUAAAUAUAUUCGAACCCAUGAUAAAUGAUACGCAAAUAUUUACCCUCAUAUUUUUGUGAGAUAUUAAUGUUUCUGUGCGAAAAACUAGAGUAGAUAGGAAUAUAAUACUCGCUCGAUAUUGUUUGUCAUGAUUUCUUUUUUUAAGUUAAAUUAUAAUAUUUUUUUACUAAAAAUGUAAUUUUUUAUUAUAUUAAUAUACAAUAAAUUGUACUUUUCAUAUAGUUGUAAAAUAUCUAAUUUUUUUAGUUUAAAAUAUCAAAUUACUCUUUACUUUUAAAAAUUAAUCAAUUGACUUUCAAUAACAAACAAUUUUAGACGAAGAGAGUAUUUGUUUUUUUUCCUUUUUUAGGUUAAAAAAGGAUAUAUUUGAAAAUGAGUUAAAUUUCAGAUUCAGAAAAAUAACUUAGCCUUUUUUAAUUUUUUAGUCUUUAUUUAUAAAUUUUGCCGUGUAAAUUUGAGUUGCUACUUUUUGACUGAUUAAAAAACUGAUAAUGUUUUGUUCUAGAUUUGUUAACUAACAACACAAACCUGAAGAAAAUUGACAACAAAGAUUGUCCAUUUCCUGAAAACUUCCUAGUUUAAUAAUCCUUCCGUCCAUUUUAACUUGUUCAUAUAGAUUUGAUACACUCGUUAAAGAAUAAUAUAUAAAAUGAUACAUUAAAUUCGAAAUUCUAUGUGAAUUCAAUGUAUUUUUAAUUUAAUAUUACAAGAUUCAGAAAUUAUUUUAAUUUUUUAAAUUUUGUGACAAGUCAAAAUCAGACAAAUGAAACCAGAGUGUAAUGCAAAACGUGCCAAUUAAGAAGACUAUUAAACUAAUUCAUGUCCCAAGAAGUCAUCUAAUCAUGGCCAAAUAAUAUAGACAAUAUUUUAGUCUAUGCUCUUACUGUCUAUAUUCACACGUUGGUUGUUACAGAUGAUAAAAUAAUAAUCUAAUUCAUAGAGCAGGUAUGCAGUUGUUAGAUUUUCAGAUUUUUCUCAUUUGAUCUUUGUCUGUACUUUGAUCAAUAUUCUGAAGAUGAGUGUAUCUAAAAAAUUCAUUCAACAGCUUAUUGUGUUUGACAUAUUUGUCGCGCUGUCAGUUACCAGUGGUGUUGUGUUCAGUUCAGGAGUUGCUGAUGGGAAUAUCAAGUGCCUUCAGACGGAAUUAGAAGCUCUUCUCAGUUUCAAACGGGAGUUGUUAGAUGUCCGUGGACGUCUUUCUUCAUGGGGAAAUGAAGGAUUUAAUCAAGAUUGUUGCACAUGGAGAGGUGUCCAGUGUGACAAUCAAACCAGUAAUGUCAUUAGACUCGACCUUCGUGGUCCUUCUGGUCCUAAUGCGUCUGCUGCCAUUGCGCCGUUGAUAGGUAAGAUAAGUCCUGCCUUACAAGAAUUGAAGCAGUUAAAGUAUUUGGAUCUUAGUUACAACCGAAUUUCAGGAGGUAUACCGGACUUUCUUGGUACUCUGAGUAAGUUGGAAUACCUCAACUUAUCUUGUAUUGGUGAUGAUUUUACGACAGUUCCUAAACUUGGCGAUCUUUCUAGCUUAAACACCCUUGAUUUGAGCUAUAAUGAUUUCCUAUCUGUGAAUAACCUUGAGUGGAUUUCGAGUCUUCAUCAAUUGAGAUACCUUGCCAUACGUUACGUUAAUAAUCUGAAUAAUUCUGUAUAUACCUGGCUGUUUAAGUUGAGCAAUCUGACUCACCUUGAUCUCUCUGGUAAUACUUUAUCUGGUCAAAUUCCUGAUUCUUUUUGUAAUAUGAAAUCCUUAAAACGCCUUGAUCUGUCUCGGAAUACGCUUGGAGGUGGCUUCCCUAGAUGUCUUGGUAACAGUAGUGAUUUGAAGUUGUUGCAACUGUCUUCCAACAAUCUAGACGGGCAGCUACCUGAGAUAAUGAAUAACUUGUCAUGCGUGUCACAUUCUCUCGAGUACCUGAACCUAGAAGAGAAUCACAUUGGUGGUUCACUGACUGAUAUUGUAGCAAAGUUUGCAUCUUUGAGAGAACUGAGGCUCGGACGUAAUAAGUUGAAUGAAUCCAUCCCGGGAGCUGUGGGAGAACUACCAAGUCUAGUUCUUCUGGAUUUAUCUUGGAACAGAAUCACAGGAUCAGUCCCUGAUCUUUUUCUGUUAUCGUCGUUGAGGGAAUUGUAUCUUUCUCAUAAUCAGUUAACUGGUGUAACGGAGAGUAUUGGACGUCUUUCCAAACUUGAGAAGUUGUACCUUGACUUCAAUCUGCUUGAAGACACAAUAUCUGAAGCUCAUUUGUUCAAGCUCUUGAAAUUACGUGAGCUGGACCUCUCUUAUAACACUCAACUACAUAUUCGAGUCAGUUCAGAUUGGCUCCCGCCUUUUCAGCUGGAUCUCAUUCGUUUUACCCACUGCAAAUUGGGUCCUCAAUUCCCAAACUGGCUGAGGAAUCAAAACAACAUUUCCGAGCUUGAUUUCUCAGUUUCUGGACUUUCGAGAGACGUUCCUAGUUGGUUCUGGGAGCAGUUGCCUGGAUUGACAUUCUUAAACCUUUCUUACAAUGAUAUAGGAGGAAAUGUACCCGAUCUCUCAAAGAAGAUGAGUGAUCUUCUUUGUAUAGAUUUAGCUACAAACAAAUUCACCGGUCCAAUACCACGAUUUCCUACCAGUGUUAUAACAGUUGAUCUCUCCAACAACAUGUUCUCCGGUACCAUCUCCUUCAUUUGUGACAAUUUUGAUUACUUGGGAUAUCUUGAUCUCUCAGACAACAGGUUGUCCGGAGUGCUUCCUCACUGCUGGACGCUUAGAAGUAUCAUGCAUCUCAACUUAGGGACUAAUAACUUCUUCGGGGAGAUACCUGAUUCGAUAGGCUCAUUGCAGACAAUGGGAAUGCUACAUCUUCAAAACAAUCAUUUGACAGGAGAACUACCUCAGUCCCUGGCAAAUUGCAAAAAGUUGAGGGUUAUAGACGUUCGGUCUAAUAACUUGUCUGGUGAAAUUCCAGAAUGGAUUGGGAACAACAUACCUGACAUCAUUAUUGUUAUCUUAAAAUCCAACAGGUUUAGUGGAAGCAUACCUUCAACCAUAUGCCAGCUAAAAGAACUUCAAAUCUUGGACUUAUCUGAAAAUAAGAUAUCCGGGAUCAUACCAAAAUGUAUCAACAACCUCACUGCAAUGACCGAAGAAGAGAGCACAAUGCAACAAAUCAAGAGUUGGUAUUUUCAAGUCGAUGAUGAAGGUAAUGUCAAAAUAAAUGCCUCAUACGAUGAGACAACAGUUUUGAUGUGGAAGGGACGACAAUUUGAAUACAGCAGCAUACUUGGUAUGGUAAAGAGCCUCGAUCUUUCAAGCAACAACAUGGUGGGAGAAAUCCCUAUUGAAAUUACAUCUCUUGUAGGUUUGCACGGUUUGAACCUGUCGAGCAACAACUUAACGGGCAGCAUCCCUCUGAGGAUUGGUGAAAUGAAGGCACUGAAUUUCCUAGACUUAAGUACAAAUGAUCUUACAGGGGAAAUUCCUGCUAGCCUUUCACAGUUAAGUCACUUGGGAGUCUUGAACUUGUCUUGCAACAACUUGUCUGGUCGAAUCCCUUUAGGCGAACAGUUACUAACUUUCAACAACAGAUCCUACAUUGGCAAUCAUGGUCUUUGCGGCUAUCCACUAACAGAAGCUUGCUCUCUGGAGGAACUUCCUCGAGACUCAACGUUGAGUGAUGAGGACGAGUUUAUAACUCCAGAAUUUUAUAUUAGUAUGGGAAUCAGCUUUAUUUCUGCAUUUUUGGGAGUCUCAGCUCUGAUGUUGAAUAGAAGGUGGAGUUAUGGUCUACUUAGAUACUAGCAAAUCAAUAAUGUAACAUCACACAGUUAAAUGUAGGUUUACUUACAUACCAUGAUAAGUAGCUAUAUAAUCUCGAGUUCUUGAAACUUUGCAUUUGCCUGAAUUUUUAUUCGAUGUGCAUUGUACACCACACGAAUCAGCUAAUCCUCGAAUAUUUAUACUGUACGAGUUGUUUAUUUAACCUUUAUGUCGUUUUCUCAAGCAAAACCAUUCAUUUUAAGGAGCACCAUAGAUCAUCUGAGUGCAAGCAAGAGCAAACCUCAUCCUCUGCCUCCCAUUUGGAACUCAAUAUUGAUAGCUUGAAUUACUGAUUACAUGAAAUAAUUAUAAGAUGUAUACUUUUUAAAUUUGUCUCUUUUUAUCUGUAAUUUAAAUUUUUUGUUAUAAUUUUAUUUGUUUCUAUUAUUUUAAAUUCUUUUUAUUUUUAUUUCUCAUUAUAUAUUAUUUAUUAUUAUAUUUCAUUUUCUUGUCAUUCUCACACUAUAUUUUUAUGCUAUUUUUCGUCUUAUCUAUUUCAUUUAUUUAUGUAUUCCGUCUUUGUUUUUUCAUUAACAUAAUUUUGUUAAUAUUUUUAUUUUUAUAUUGAAGUAGAGUUUCUUGUUGAAUAACAUUAUAGAUUUGUCUUUUAAAUCAUAUUUAUAUAGGUUACGUUGAAAUUUGACAUAAGAGUAUUACGUUAGGAUUUUUAUUUUGAAUUAUAAACUUUUGUUAUAUUUUCAAUCUCAUUUGUUUUAGUAGAAUUGACUUGAUAUUUCACAAUGUAAGUCAUUUAUUUUUUUAGUUAGACUUAAUAACUUGUUUCUUUAUCAAAUAUUUUCAUAAUUUGUGACAUUAUAUUUAUAAUAUUAAUCUUUUUGUCUAACAUGUAUUUUAUAAUGCAUGUAGAAAUUUCGUACUUUUAACUUUUAUUAUUAAUUUGAUUAAUAUAUACUAUAUUUAAAAAACAUAAAUUUUUUGUUGUAAUAUUAAUUAAGAAUAUAUGUUUAUUGACGAAAAUAUUUUCAAAAGAUAAUAUAUAUUUUAAUUAUUUAAUUUGAAAUCAUAUAUAAAAUCUCUUAUUUAAUAGUUUAACCUUAUAAUUAUAGUUGUGUAACAAAACAAUAUAUUAAAAAGUAAUUACUAUUUUCUAGUACUCCCUCCGUCCUCAAUUGUUUGUCAGGAUAAAAUCAUAUAUUUUCCUCAAAACAAAAUUUAAUACGAAGUGUAAUUUGAUUAAUAUAACCCUACUAUAUUAAGAAUAUUAAAAGUUUACAUAAUUUUUCAACUAAACAAAAUGAAAUAAUUAUUAAGGACAAAAAAAAACUAAUUAUUUCUUGAUUGUUUAAAUUGACAAUUAAUCUUCGCAUCUAUUUUCAGUUUGGUUGAGAUUCUCAUAUUAAAUUUCUUGGUUUUAAUUCUAUCAAAUUGAUUCCUUUUGAAUAAUUAUACGAUGUGCCAUUUUGAGAGACUAAAAUAAAUUGUUCCUUUGCUAUGUAUUUUCAUGAGUUUUGUCACGAUCCAAAAAUGGGCGUGAUGACACUCGUCUUAUCCCACCAAGACAAGUCAGCCUAAAACUCAACCAUUACAAUAAAGUGCGGAAGUAAAAUAUAAGUAACUUAAUAAAAAACCCAAAACCUGGUAGUCACGUGUACAAACCUCUAAAGUAUUACAAUUGAUUCAAAAGAAAACUCAAGUCUCAAAUGAAGUUGUUUCUAGAAUAGAACAAGAUCAUAAUUAAGGAGAAGAAAGUCUGCUGCGAUGGAAACAGCCACCUGACAAAUCUCCAGGAAGCCUCGGAAAAGAAGAGAAUGACAAGUACAACAAAAAUCCAGGCUCAUAACCUACAAAAAUUUGUAGAAGCAAGGGGUGAGUACCAAAUCACACGGUACUCAGCAAGUAAACCUCUAAAUACAAGCUAAGGGUAUGAAAUAUGGGUACUCCUACCACCCCCAACCGAACCUCUACAACUACAACCUGCAUUAAAAAUCAACCCAACCUAACAACUCAUAGUUUACAUAGCACGUAGCUCAACAACACUUAGACAAAUUAAAUAUCCUCAACAACAACACUUCAACAAAUUACAUAUCCGCAAUAACAAGCUCAACAUUGAUCAAUCACAAGUUCCAUAGAAAGGUAAUCAGAAGAUCAACAAAACACGAUAUCAAGUUCACUAAUGAUAAAUAUGUGCAAUGCAAUGGAAUACAAUGUCAAGUAUAAUGAUGCAUGCCUGACCUAGUGAUACACACCCGCUGUCUCUCAGUCCGGGACCCAUGGGGGACAUAUCUGUCCAUGCAUCUGUCGCGGCGCACGACACGACCCUCGAUAAUAGUAACCAUCGUGGCGCGCGAUACGUCCCUCGAAAUAUAGUAUCCAUCGCGGCGCGCGAUACGUCCCUCGAAAUGGUACAUCCUCUUAAGUACCCAUUCUAUCUCAAUGCACAUAACACUUGUCACAACCAAUGCCUCAGAAUAAUGCAGAUGAGAAUUUCACACAAAUAAUGAGGAGAUGAUUAUUUUCAUAACGUCGCACAGUUCACAACCACACAAACAUGAAGUUACAUCAACAAUGAUUCAACAAGUCUUCAACCCUUUCUCAACACAUCACACGUAAACAAUUAAGCACAUUGCCUUUUGUUAUCCCUUUUUUUCAUCAUUAGAAUUAACCAGUGUGGACAAGUCAACCCAUCACCAAUCCCGUUACUCCCAAACAUAUACCACAAGGAAAUACACACAUUUCAUACACUUAACAAGAAUUUAGAAAUCCACUUGCCUCAAACAAUCGAACAAUCACCCCGGGACUUGAGCCUUCCCGUUUCGCUGAGCUUCCAAAUUAAUACCAUCUAUUCAAGUGAAUAUGCACAAUAAGGUUUUGGAACUAAAAAACACCUAUAUAAUUAUGUGUCUAGUCUUGACCCAAAAACUCGCUAUAUACAAAGUUUAGUACUUAGUAGUUGAUCUUGAUGGAAUGGUCUUGAGGAUGAGCUCACUUUGAGAGAUGAACACCGACUAGUAGGUUAUAACUCAAGCUUUUUGUAUGUUUGUCAUUAUUCUUCCUCCUCCUUCUUCUUCUUUAUGUUCGAGGACGAACAUGAUUUUUAGUGGUGGAUAAUGUAAUAACCUGUCAUAUCAAUUUUUGAAAUUUUUUUUUGAUAUGACAGGUUAUUACAAGUUUAUCUUGUUGAGUAAAGUAUUUCGCUGCUUAGUUUGUCAGGUCCAGAGCUUGCUUGUGGCCAUCAAUAAUUUUCAAGUGUCAAUCUUGCAAAAAGUGUAGGUUUGAAGCGUGACAAAAAUGAAGGAAAUAUAAAUCUAAGUUAUUUAUAUUAAAAAAAUAGACAAAAACCAAAUCUAAUAAAUUUUUGAAUACUUAAAUUAAAUCAGUAAAUGCAUAGUUAAGAGACUAAAAAUAAUAAAUGCAUAAUUAAGAAACUAACACUAAUAAUUUUUUAAAUAACUAAAUCUAAUAAGAUAAUUUAGAGACUAUUUUAAAUCUAUUCCUAUAAUUAAAAGACUAUUUAUAUCAUUUUCUAGAUUUCUAAAUAUUAGAUGGAAGGGAAUUGAUUUUUUCUUUAAAAGAAUCAGGUCACAUUCUUUAAAAAUGUGUAUCUUCAAGACAUUUCAUUUAUGAAAAAGAAAAAGAAAAAGAACGUCUCGUUCGCCAUUAUUGUCACGAUGUUUAUAAACUAAACUCCAUCGAUUCUUAAUUAUUUGUUUGAUUUUUUAAAAUUAUUUUAAUUAUUUACCAUUUUAACAAAUCAAAAAAAGAUAUUUUUUAAAAUUUAUUUACUCUCAAUUAAUUAUUUUGAAAAAGAUAGAACUUUUUUAAAAUCUCAAGUUUUUGAUUCAUUUACUUCAUAAUUAAUAGGUGAAAAAUGGUGAACUCACUAUAUCUUUCUUAAUAAAUGUAUCAAUUCAAAAGUGAAUAAGUAAUUAGAGACAAUGAAAAUAGCUGAUUAAAAAAAAGAUUCCUCCGAUUUGAGAUUCAUCAAGUUGAAAAAAAGAACUGAGUAAAGAGUUAGCUGAGUUUUCACAAGAUCAUAAAGAUAAAAGGGAAAAGGUCUUGAUAUAUUCCUCAAUUUUAUCAUUUAGAAAUGACAUACCGUGCUAUAAAAGUUGGUAUUAAAAAUGAUUCAUAUAUACUCAUACUAUUAUACAAAUAACGAUAUUUAUAUACCAUUUCUAAUAGUUUGAAAGUUUAAUUGUCAUUUCUCACAUUUAAGUAUGAAAGUAAAAAAAUAAAAAUAAAAACAAAAAUAAUUUAGGUAUAUUUUUAACGCUUACCUCAUUAAACUAUCAUCAUUUUGUAAAUUUUAUACCAAAAAUGUCUCAAACUAAAAUUUAGUCUAUAUAGUUUAUCCAUGUAAUUUUAAAGUAUAAUACAUAAUAUAUGCUCUUUAACUAGACUUCAAAUCAUAUGUAUAUUCUUCAAUUUUGGAUGUACACAAGUACACAUUUAAACUUGUAUAAAGUUGAAUAAAUAGACACAUAUGUCUUACAUGUCAUCCUACGUGUAAUUUUUUGUUCUAUGUGGUGUCUUAUAUGUAUUGUUUUAUGUAAGACUCAUGUGUUUAUUUAUUUAAAAGUUGGAUAGUUAAUAAAAGUUAGAGGCAAAGUUAUAAUUUAAAACCAAGAUUAGGAUUAUUAUGCCUAAUUUUAAUAAGUCACCCUUGUUUCUAGCCACCAAAACAUAAGGAAACUCUAACCAGAUGCAGAAGGCUAAGCACAGAAAGUUGAAAAGAACAACAAACCUUACAACUUUUUUUUCCCCAUUUGCCAAUGGCUUCUUCCGGAGCUUGGACGUAUCGAGAUCGAACUUCCGAGUUCGCGUCUUUGUCCAAAACAUUGAAGAAAAUCGCAGGAACUACCGGAUCAGAUCAUGAACCACAGCAGAAUUCUGCCUCUUCUACCACAAAGGUACUACAAAUUCCAGAUCGAUCUGAAUUCAACAAGAAGGCUUCGAGAAUCGGAUUGACAAUCCAUCAAACCUUUCAGAAAAUCGAUAGGCUAGCUAAAUUGGCAAAGCGAUCAUCAAUUUUCGACGAUCCAAGCAAGGAAAUUCAGGAAUUGACAACUUCCAUAAAAAAUGAUAUCACAUCACUCAAUGUUGGAGUUUCUGAUUUACAAGCCCUUCAAGACAUGGAUGUAGCUGAUGGAACUCAUUCGAAAGAUACAAUUGUUCAUUGUACUGCGAUCUGUGAUGAUCUGAAGACGAGACUUAUGGCUGCUACAAAAUCAUUCCAGGAGGCACUUACAAUAAGAACGAAGAAUAUGAAAGCUCACGAAGAUCGAAAACAGAUAUUCUCUACAAAUCUCUCUAGAGAAAAUCCUUUGAAACAACCUACAGCAGAGCCACCUCCUUGGUCAACUUGUCAAUCAUUAACGGCAAUAGAUGCUCAGGGAAGCAACCAAUUAAGACGGAGAUUGGCUUCAGACAAUCCUCCGUCUAACGAAUUGGAAAUGUCAAUGUUACAAGAUCAGGUUCCGAGACAAGAAAGUUACUCUCAGAGUAGAGCAACUGCUCUUCAAAAUGUUGAAUCGACUAUUUCAGAAUUGGGCGGAAUAUUCACACAUCUAGCUACCAUGGUCGCACAACAAGGUGAGCUUGCUAUAAGAAUCGACGAUAACGUUGAUGAGUCAUUGACAAAUGUUGAAGGUGCACAAGGUGCUUUGUUAAAGUACUUGAAUCGAAUAUCAUCAAACAGGUACCUCAUGAUCAAAAUUUUUGUUGUUGUGAUCCUUUUUCUCUGUGUAUUUAUAUUUUUUUUGGCCUGAUAUCGGUGGAUAUUCACUGUAAUUGUUAGCUUAUUAGUAAUCAAAAAUCAUUUUUUCUCAAUAGCUUGCUCUGAGAUGUGUACUUUGCAACUUAGAUGCUGGAGUAGCAAAUUUCCUCCAGAUAAACAGACAAAUUAUAUCGAUACAUAUAUAUCAUAAAAAAACAAUUUGUGCAAAGCAUAACAGAAAAAAACUCUUUAAUUUUUUUAUUUUUUUUAAUAUUAUUAGUUAAAUCUGAUUAUAUUUUGAAUAAUUUAUAAUAGAAAUAUUUUGUUAAAGAUGGUGGCACAUACACACCUCAAAAAUUAAUAAUAAUUUCUUUUUUAUAUUUUAGUAUUUAAAUAAUCGAUUAGUUAAAUAAAAUGAAAAAUCCAAAGGUAUAAUGAAAAAAAAUUCUAAAGUCCUAAAUCGAACAUAAAAUUAGGUGAAAAAUAAUAAGCUAAAUAUUUAUAAAAUCGAUCGAUGUAUUAUUAGACCCUACGUUAUUAUUAAUUCAUGCGUUAAUAAUCUGAGUGUUCGAGUUUAAAUUUAUACUCCCUUUUUUUUUCCGCAAUCUUUAAUAUUGUGCAAGAUAAAAUAAAAUUAUUAAAUUCACUACAAUCUUAACCGGCAUGUCCCACUGUUUUACCAAACUAAACUUAAAUUAUUGUGCCUAUGUUUUCAUCUUUCGAGCUCAAUUUUAAUAGGCAUUAGAAUUAAAUAAUUUAAAGAACCAAAGACACAAAUUUUAAUAAACUAGACCUAAAUUAUUAUGUCUGUGUUGUUAUCAUCAAUGUAAUUCUUUUAUAUAGCAGUCAUGAUUAUCGAAUUCUCAUCGUAUAUGAGAUAAAAAUUAUCUCAUCACUAAAAUAAAAAUAAUACCUUCAAUUAAAUAUAAAAUAAAUUAAUACACAUUUUAUCUUUGAAAUUAUUAUAAUUUCAAAUGACCACAGGAAUAAAUAAAUUAAUACCAAGGUAGCACUUCCAAUAGCACAAAUUCAAACAAUUACAAACCCUACCAAAAAAAAAAAUACAAAAGAGAAAUGUUUACAAUUCAACACCCAAAUUAGCUACAAAUCACAAAUAUAGUAACCAACUCUAUCCCAAUUCCCAAACCCAAAUUCCAAAACCCCUCAAAAAUCACAAAAUUAUAAAGGGAAAAAAAAAACAAAGAAUAAAUCUUUUUCAUCUAAAUUUUCAAAAAAAAAAAAUUAAAAAAAUCAACUCCUCAUGUGUCUGACCUUGUGCCAACCCUUCUUGCAAGAUUCUCCAACAAUUUUCACUCCCUUUUUGAAAAAUGUCUUCAACUCUUUUGCUCUUUCCUUAACUUGUUUCUCAAAUCCACCCAUUUUUUCACUAUCAAAGAGAGGAUGAAAAAAAAAUCAAAAUUUUCAAGAAUAUAUGUUGAACUUGUAU
This 59842-nucleotide long non-coding RNA is filed under the name Solanum lycopersicum (tomato). RNAcentral's name for it is "long non-coding RNA (SLYC_LNC000461)". The record is from RNAcentral. Lineage: Eukaryota; Viridiplantae; Streptophyta; Magnoliopsida; Solanales; Solanaceae.